Molecule: long non-coding RNA, 71923 nt
Filed under: Citrus maxima (pomelo)
Lineage: Eukaryota; Viridiplantae; Streptophyta; Magnoliopsida; Sapindales; Rutaceae
Description: long non-coding RNA (CMAX_LNC000490)
Source: RNAcentral
CUUUCUACAUCUAUUUAUAAGAUUAACGGGUGCCAGUUAUGCCAUUACAAAUUAUCCCCUCAUCAGAUAUUUCGUUAAAAUUCAUUCUGAAACACUAAAACUAAAUAAUCGAACAUGGCUUUGCGGGUCGAUGAUGCCAGAAGCAAUUCGACUGCAAUUAUCACUUGUUUAGUUUCUGUGCUUGCCGUGGUUUACUUGGCAUGGAAUGUGAAAAAAUCAAGGAAAGCAAAUGCUAAACUGCCACCAGGACCUCCCGGCUUGCCUGUAGUCGGAUACCUCCCAUUUCUCGGAACUACUGACUUGCACAAGAAAUUCACGGAAUUAUCCGGAGUUUACGGUCCGAUCUUCAAGCUCUGGCUCGGAAAUAAAUUAUGUGUAGUGGUGAGCUCACCUUCCCUAAUUAGACAAGUGGUUCGUGAUCAAGAUACAACAUUCGCGAACCGUGACCCACCGAAGGCUGCACUAGUGGUCUCCUAUGGUGGCAAUGAUAUUGCAUGGUCCAAUUACGGUCCCGAAUGGAGAAAGUUGCGCAAAUUUUUUGUGGGCAAGAUGAUGAGUAACGCAAGCCUUGAUGCUUGUUAUGCUCUAAGAAAACAAGAGGUUAAAAAUACUAUCAGGGAUUUGUAUAACAACGACAACAAAAUUGGCAAGCCCAUUGACAUUGGUGAAUUGUCGUUUUCAACAUUGGUAUGUGCUAUACAGAACAUGCUGUGGGGUGAAGCGCUUGAAAUAAGAGAGAAAGGGACCACUAAUCUUGGGGCUGGGCUAAAAUUUAAGCUGGCAGAACUCAUGGUGCUUGCGGGAACACCGAAUAUUUCGGAUGUCUUUCCAAUGCUUUCAUGGCUUGACAUACAAGGUAUAGAGAGGAGAGCAAAGAAGAUUUCACUCUGGCUUGAAAAUGUUAUAAAUUCUACUGUUGAACAGCAUAGAAACAAGGAGUCAACUGUUGAAGGUGAAGAAAGAGCGGGGAAAAAUUUUGAAGGAUCAAGGAACAAGAACUUCUUGCAGUUACUAUUGGAGCUUCAAGAAAAUGAUGACAGUGCUUCCUCAAUUAGCAUGAACCAAUUCAAGGCCGUACUCAUGGUAUGUUAAGUAACUAGCAACGAACAGUUAUACAAGCACAGUUGUAUAUUUGCAUGAGUGAUAUUUUCAACCUUUUUUUUUAAUUAGAAUUUUAUUGUCACCUUUUGGACAGGAUAUAAUUACGGCUGGAACCGACACCACAGCUACGAUGGUGGAAUGGACAAUGGCAGAGUUGAUGCAGCAUCCACAAGUAAUGAAGAACGUUCAGGAAGAAUUAGCUCAAGUUGUGGGCAUGGACAGUUGUGUUGAAGAAUUUCACCUGUCUAGAUUAAAGUAUUUAGAUGCUGUGGUGAAGGAAACAUUUCGUCUGCAUCCUGCAGUGCCUUUAUUAGUACCACGCAGAGCAAGCGAGAGUGGCAGCAUUGGUGGCUAUACCAUUCCCAAAGAUACAACUCUUAUGUUGAAUGUUUGGGCUAUCCACAGGGACCCUCACCUUUGGGAUAAUCCCUUAGAAUUUCGACCCGAGAGGUUUCUGAAUGUUGGUGUCGAGAGUAAGUUCGAUUACUCAGGUAACAAUUUUCAGUACUUGCCAUUUGGUUCUGGUAGAAGAAUGUGUGCUGGGAUUCCUCUAGCUGAGAGGAUGCUGAUGUUUGUUUUGGCUUCGUUAUUGCACUCAUUUGAGUGGGAAUUGCCAGCUGGCACAAAGCUAAACUUAUCUGAAAAAUUUGGGAUUGUCAUUAAGAAAAAAGAGCCUUUGGUUGCUAUUCCAACACCAAGACUAUCCAAUUCAGAGCUCUACCAUUAAGACAAAAUGGUUGUGAUGAUUUUGUUAAUUUUCCGAAGAUUUGUAUGUUAUUUAGUUCAAUCGUAAUAAAAUAUUUCAAAUAAGAGUCCUCCGUUGCUUUUUUUUUUUUUUUUUUUUCAACGGCAUAAUCUGUCGUCAUGCUUGUAUUUGGAGCUACUUUGGAAUAAUUAUGUUUGAAUUACAAUUUAUAAAUAUUUACGUUUUAAAUUUUUUAUAAGAGUCUAAAUUUAUACACGUUUAAUAUCCCGCUUCAUAGAUAUUUAACACAAUUUAUAUCAUACAUUGUAUACCCAUUUGUCAUAAAUUAUACUAUUUUGUAUCUCUAAAUAAUAUUACGUAUUGAUAUUAUAAUAUAUAUAUAUAUGUUUAUCAAAAGACUAUACCAUUCAAUAUAUAUUGAAAAGAGAACAAAGAAGAUUUUCUUAUGGUUUAAAAAUAUUAUGAAUUCUGCUGUUGAACAGUAUGGAAACAAGGUCUCUGUUGUUAAAGGUGAAGAAGCAACAGGGAACAAUAUUGAAGGAAGAAAUUUCACAUGUUUAGUUGCUGAAUUUGCCGCUGUAUUCUAUCGGUAGUAGAGUUUUUAUUUUUCUCUAUUAAUUUAAGUCAAUUUUCUAUAACAAAUUCGGUUGAGUUUAAUUGUGUUAUAAUAUAAAUUGAAUGAUAAUAGAAUUUUCAACAAAUAUUUCAAUAUUUCUAUCUCGAUUGUUGAAGUGCCAUUUAUUUGUUAUGCGAUCGAUUUUAAAAUUUAUAAAAUUAUUUGUUACUAAAUUGCAUCAUAUGCUAAAAUCACCUGAAACCUAAUUCCAUAACUAACCCUUUAUUUUUAGUUCUCAAGAAAUCUUGUAAGAACAAAAAUCUUUUAUAACAAAACUUUUACAACACAUUAAUUUGUAACUCAUUCCUGUGCGCGAAUCACUCUCAAUUUCCUUCAAUUGCUGUUUAACAAUCAUCUACUUAUCAAAAUUCAAGCAUAAUCUUUUUUUUUUAAUUUCUUCAUCAUUCUUUAAAAAAAAAAUCAGGAUAUGCUGUUAAAUUUUGAAAUAAAUAAAUUAACCAAAGUUGGUUGAUGUGAGUGGUUCAAUGAUGAGCAUAAUUUAUAUACAUAUUUUACCUUUAAUUAUAUAAUUAUUAGUUAUUUUUAUUAGUUAUUUUUAAUUAAUUGAAUUAUUUUAUUGCAUAGAGAAUUAAUUGGAGAUUGGGAAACAAAAAGUGCAUAAAGAAUAACAAGUUUGGGAAAGCAUCAAUCAAAGCCGUGACGCAAUUAAGAGUUUAUAGCAUAUGAAGCCAAGAGUAAUUUGCACUCAAAAAGAAUUUCAAUUAUUCAAGUGACCUGGACCUGCAUGGCAUUGUAAUGCAUGGAAAGCAACUUAAAGGGGCCCACACUUGGCUUUUACAAUUGGAAAAAGGAAUCCUAGUGCAAGCUUAAUUGAUGAGCACGUGAGUGAGAGCAAAGAAAAUUAAAAGGCCAAGCCUUUUGGCUUAAGGAAAUAACAAGGUCGGUGGGGCCCAUUUUAAAGAGUAAUAUAAAAGCAAGCUUUUGGCUUUUGGAGAGAGGAGCCGCGAGAGGAGGAAAACGCAAGACAAAGAGAAGAAAAUCUGCAGCAGUUCGGCUUCUAUGGUUGGUUUUAUCUCUUUUGUUACUCUUAAUUCAAAUAUGUCUAGUUAAUUUUCUUAUAUUAAAGUUAAGGAUGAAACCCUAUUCAAUGAAAUAAUUAUCUUUUUAUUUAUUUAAUUCCCAUAUAUGUUCUUUAAUGAUUAUGAUUUUUAUUUCACAUGAUUAAUUGGAUGUUAUUAAAAUUUUUUCAUCAAUUCUGUCAUGCAUUAUUGAUUGUUAGGAUUAAUAUUCAAUUAAAUCUAUACUUAGAUUUAUAACGUUUAUACAUGAUUAUCUUUGAUUCUAUGUCUUUCAUUAAAUUGUUUACAUGGAGUGCUUAGGAAAACUUUGACUCUUUGUUAUUCAAUAUGUUCACAUGGGAUACUUAGAUGUCAUACUAUUAAGCGGAAAAAGAACCUAUAUUAGAUUUAAUUAUUUGGGCUUAAUUGUUAUAUCCAUGAGAUGACACAAAUUGAUUUCGAGUUGUCACUCUAAAAUUAGAGAUUAAUGAAUAUUUAGAUAAUUACUAGUUGAAUAGCGGUGGAUUCUGAAACCUUGGUAAUUUCUAUCUUAUUGAAUUCUCCUUUACUUUAAUUGUUUUCUUAGUUUAAUUAAUUUAAUUUCUUUUAAAACUCAAUUUGCUUAACUAGGUUAGAAUUAAUAUUAAUUUUAGAUUUAAAUUAGACUUUUCAAUUUAUAACAAUCCAUGUGGGAUCGACCUCGUUACCACUACUUUAUUUCUAGAUUCGUGCACUUGCGAGUAUAUUAAAAUUUUCACAACAAGUUUUUGGCGCCGUUGCCGGGGAUUGUGCCAGAAAGUCAGUUUAAUCUAGGUUGAUUUGAUUCUUCCACUAGUUAUAAUUUAUGUUGUCUUUUAUUUUAUUAUUAUUUUUAAUUAACAAAAACACACAAAAAAACUUUUAUUUUUCUUUAAAUUCAUUGUUUGGUUGUUUGAUUUCUUUUAUUUUUUAAAUUUUGUUUAUUCUCAUUAUUGUUGGUUUAUUUUAUUUUAUUUUUUUCUUUCCUUGUCUAGUUAGUUUAUGAGUGUUUGGGAAUGUGAUUCAACAAAUCGUUUGGUAAAAGAGAGUCAAAAAUUGAUAGUAGUCAAGUUAGUUCUUCUGAAGUCAUGGAUGACCCAAAUAGAUUAUUGCCAAUACUUCCACCAGUGCAAGCAGAGAAAACCCUUAGAGAAUAUUUUUCACCACUUGCAGCCAACCAACCAUCUUGUAUUGUGUUGCCACAAACUACAGCAACACACUUUGAACUUUUUGAACUUAAGCCCUCAGUCAUCCAACUUUUACCAUCUUUCCAUGGGUUAGAGAGAGAGGAUCCAUAUUUGCACAUUAAGGAAUUUCUUGACAUAUGCUCUACAUUCCGUUUUCAAAAUUUUAAUGAUGAGUUAAUCAGGCUUCGUAUGUUAUCUUUCUCAUUAAAAGACAAAGCAAAAGCUUGGUUGAAUUCGCUUUCUGCUGGGUCUAUAACUACGUGGGAUGAAUUGAAUAAUAAGUUCCUCACCAAGUUUUUCCCUAUGUCUAAAACAAAUGCCCUUAGGAGAGAGAUAAGUGAUUUCUAUUAAAGAGAGGGUGAGCAAUUUUAUGAGUGUUGGGAAAGAUUCAAUGAUUUACUCCUCAAGUGCCCCCACCAUGGUUUUGAGAAAUGGAGACUUAUACAAUGCUUUUAUAACGGUUUAACCAUGUCGAAUCGUCAUAUGGUAGAGUCUAUGAAUGGUGGGAGAUUUUUGAACCUACAUGAAGGGGCUGCAUGGGAUUUCUUUAAUUCACUUUCUGAGAAUUCUCAACAGUGAGAUUUUUCAAGCCAAAGGGAAAAAUCAUCUCAAGUUUCUAGAAAGGGGUUAUAUGAAGUUAAGGAUGAUUUUGAUGUGAAAUCCACUCUAAUUACACUUUCUAGAAAAGUAGAUGCCUUAGCUCUGAACCAAUCAAUGAAUCAUCAUCCUAGUGUAGCUAAUGAGGUUUGUGCUAUUUGUUCUAACUUGUCUCAAACAGCACAAAACUGUCCAUCAUUACCAGUCUAUCCAGAGGCUUAUUCUGAGCAGGUACAUGCCUUACAAUCAUAUGAGAAAACCUCCAAUAAUACAUAUUCACUCACAUAUAAUCCUAAUUGGAGGAAUCACCCUAAUUUUUCUUGGAAACAAAAUCAAUCUUUGUCAAACCAAGGAGGACAACAAUUUAACAUGCCCAAUCAACAAUUUGUCCCUCCUAACCAAGUAUAUCCUCCUGCCCAACAACCUAUAUCUCAAUUUGUUACACCCCAACAAAGAAAACCUUCUUUAGAGGAUACACUUCAAAGUUUCAUUCAGUCAACCUAAUAAGCUUUUCAGUCAAACACUCAAGCUAUUCUAAAGCUUGAACAUCAAUUGGGUCAAUUAGCAACUACUGUAGCGGAGAAAGAAAAAAGAAAAUUCCCCAGUCAAUCAAUUCCUAAUCCUAAAGGAGUGCAUGAAGUUGGAUCGAGUUCAAGCCAUCAGCAUGAAGAAGCAAAAUCAAUUAUGACCUUGAGAAGAGGAAAAUUGUUUGACAACAAAGUGGAGGUUCAAACAAAGAAGACAUCUGAGCCUACUUCUUCAGAUCCAAUUACAUCACAAGAAUCAUCACCAAAUGAUCUUGAAGAGAGUGACCCGCUAGCUUACAUUCCCAAGGCUCAUUUUCCUCAAAGGUUAACAAAGGUAAAGAAAGGGACUUCAACAUGUGAGAUUAUAGAAAUCUUCAAGCAGGUAAGUAUAAACAUCCAUUUACUCGAUGCUAUUAAGCAAGUUCCUUCCUAUGCCAAGUUUUUGAAAGAUUUAUGCACUAAAAAGAGAAAUUUGCAUGUCACUAAAAAGGCGUUUUUAACUGAACAAACUAGCAAUUUACUUCAAUGUAAAAUGCCACCAAAAUUUAAGGAUCCUGGUUCUCCUACUAUUUCAUGUGUUAUAGGGAACCAAUGUUUUGAUAAAGCAUUAUUGGAUUUAGGUGCUAGUGUUAAUCUCUUACCUUAUUCCAUUUACAUGCAGCUUGGACUAGGUGAGUUAAAAUCAACUCCUAUUAUUUUGCAACUUGCUGAUAGGUCAAUGAAAAUACCUCGUGGUAUUAUAGAGGAUGUGUUGAUACAGAUUGACAAAUUUUAUUAUCCUGUUGAUUUUAUUGUUAUUGAUACUCAACAUGUACAUGAUCUUAAGAAACACACUCCACUUAUUCUUGGUCGUCCUUUCUUAGCUACAGCUGAUGCUCAUAUUAGUUGCAGGACUUGAAACAUGCAAUUGUCUUUUGGUAACAUGACCAUGGAAUUAAAUAUUUUUAAUGUUCCCAAGCAGGCACAAGAAGAUGAUGAAGUCGUUGAAGUAGAUAUGAUAGAAGCAUCAAUUGAUGACUCACUUAUUUCUAACCAUUGUGACAAUCCAUUAAUACCUUGCACAACUGACUCUGAUUUCUCUAUUGAUGUUGAUAGUGAUAUUGAAGAAGUUAAUGCUUUACUUGAUUCGACUCUUAUCAUAGAUCUAAUUAAGUGGAAAGAAAAGAUAAGAUUGAGCCACUUCCUCCUGAAGAGAAAAGUGCAACAUAGGUCACAUUCUGACAUAAAAAAGGUGGUAAGAUCUAAAACGCUUAAAUUAUUAGAUUUUUAUACUACUUUAGAUAACUCUCAGGAAAGCUUAGAACAGAAGAGAUCAAAGCAAUGCGAUAUUGAGGAGUUUCAUUACCAUCAUCCUUUUAUGGAUAAAAUGCUCCAGUGCUUAAUCAAUUAUGCUUUUUGGUAUUUUCUAUAUAAUUGCUUUAAUUUUCACCAAAUUCUUAUUGAUCCUGGUUGAUUUGUUGUUUACAUUAAUUAGUUAGUUAGUCGGAUUUUUUUAUUAUUAUUUAUAUUUCUUCUAACGUUUUCUUUUGAGUUGUCAUUCUUUUAAGUUUUCCUAGCUCAGUCAGGUGUGUUCUCUCCAACUUUCUCUUUUAUUAUUUAUGUUUUUAUUUUUCAUCUUUUUGCGUGCAUAUCUUUUAUUUAUGACACAUUGAGGACAAUGUUCCGAAUAAGUUUGGGGGUGGGAAUAAUGUUGCUUUGUUUGUUAAAAAAAACUAAAAAAAAAUUUCAAAAAUUCAAAAAAAAAUUGUGUUUUUUUUGUUUUUACGUGAAAAGCCAAUGAUAAAAACUUGAUUGACAAUGAAUAUGGUUUUUAGAAAGGGUUUAAUAUUGUCUUAAUUUAUACUUGAUUCUUAUGUUAGUUCCUCUUGAUUGAGAUUCUUUAAAAUAUAAGCACUAAUAUCAAUUCUUUCAUAAUUUUGACUUGAAAUUUGAGAUUGACGCAGCCUGAGUUGAGAAUUUUAGAUAGAGUAAAUGACUGUUUGUCUUUAUUCUUAUCUCCACAAUACAAAAUAGUAUACACAGGCACCAAAGUCAGAAAUAACUACCUAUAAUCCUUAAGAGUGAAGCUAUCCUUGAGUAAUUUAGGCCUAUGUACCACAAGUAUGUAGAGGAUAAUCUACCAUGAGAAGAAUGCUACCUUAAGGGGUAGAGUGAAAGCUCCUGACUAUGGUUAAAAAAAAAAGAAGAAGAAAAAGAGAAAGAAAAAAUCAAAUCAAGUGCAUGUGCUGAAAAAAAAAUCAAAAGAAAAUGCACAUAAAAGCCUGUGAAAAAAAAAUUGGAGAUUAAGAUGAUAAGAUUAGCUUGACCUACUCUUUUCUUUUUUUGAGGCGAAGGUUGUUGAUAUUGAAGAUUUUAGGAAUGAAUUUGAUUGAAUUGAUUUCACACACACACAACAAGAAUCGAAAGAGAGAUGGGAUUGAUUAUUGAAUUAAAGUUAGAACUUUGCCAAUAUUUGAAAUUUUGUUUGAGCUAUAUAAUUUAUGCAAUCUUUGAGGGUAUUUUCAUAUUUUAUUUAAAGUUUUUUUUUCUUUUUAUUUUAUUUUAUUUAUUUUUUAUUUUUUUAAAAUGAUGUUUGUGGGUGUCAUCACUGAAGCUCUCACGAGACUAUAACUCGUCCACUAGGGGUUUAAAGGCUUGUUGCAUACGCUAAAUGCAAUCGCGAUUACCUGCGAAAAUGGUUUAGUUAGGAUUUACUUUUUGUUUUGUUAUUUUUUUUUUUUUUUUUAGUUUUAGCUUUGCUCGAGGACUAGCAAAAUCUAAGUUUGGGGGUAUUUGAUGAGCAUAAUUUAUAUACAUAUUUUACCUUUAAUUAUAUAAUUAUUAGUUAUCUUUAUUAGUUAUUUUUAAUUAAUUGAAUUAUUUUAUUGCAUAGGGAAUUAAUUGGAGAUUGGGAAACAAAAAGUGCAUAAAGAAUAACAAGUUUGGGAAAGCAUCAAUCAAAGCCAUGACACAAUUAAGAGUUUAUAGCAUAUGAAGGCAAGAGUAAUUUGCACUAAAAAAGAAUUUCAAUUAUUCAAGUGAUCUGGACGUGCAUAGUAUUGUAAUGCAUGGAAAGCAACUUAAAGGGGCCCACACUUGGCUUUUACAAUUGGAAAAAGGAAUCCUAGUGCAAGCUUAAUUGGUGAGCACGUGAGUGAGAGCAAAGAAAAUUAAAAGGCCAAGCCUUUUGGCUUAAGGAAAUAACAAGGUCGGUGGGGCCCAUUUUAAAGAGUAAUAUAAAAGCAAGCUUUUGGCUUUUGGAGAGAGAAGCCGCCAGAGGAGGAAAACGCGAGACAAAGAGAAGAAAAUAUGCCGCAGUUCGACUUCUAUGGUUGGUUUUAUCUCUUUUGUUACUCUUAAUUCAAGUAUGUCUAGCUAAUUUUCUUAUAUUGAAGUUAAGGAUGAAAUCAUAUUCAAUGAAAUAAUUAUCUUUUUAUUUAUUUAAUUCCCAUAUAUGUUCUUUAAUGAUUAUGAUUUUUAUUUCACAUGAUUAAUUGGAUGUUAUUAAAAUCUUUUCAUCAAUUCUGUCAUAUAUUAUUGAUUGUUAUGAUUAAUAUUAAAUUAAAUCUAUACUUGGAUUUAUAAAGUUUAUACAUGAUUAUCUUUGAUUCUAUGUCUUUCAUUAAAUUGUUUACAUGGAGUGCCUAGGAAAACUUUGACUCUUUGUUAUUCAAUAUGUUCACAUGGGAUACUUAGAUGUCGUACUAUUAAGCGGAAAAAGAACCUAUAUUAGAUUUAAUUAUUUGGGCUUAAUUGUUAUAUCCAUGAGAUGACAUAGAUUGAUUUCGAGUUGUCACUCUAAAAUUGGGGAUUAAUGAAUAUUUAGAUAAUUACUAGUUGAAUAGUGGUGGAUUCUGAAACCUUGGUAAUUUCUAUCUUAUUGAAUUCUCCUUUACUUUAAUUGUUUUCUUAGUUUAAUUAGUUUAAUUUCUCUUAAAACUCAAUUCGCUCAACUAGGUUAGAAUUAAUAUUAAUUUUAGAUUUAAAUUAGACUUUUCAAUUUAUAACAAUCCCUGUGGGAUCGACCUCGUUACCACUACUCUAUUUCUAGAUUCGUGCGCUUGCGAGUAUAUUAAAAUUUUCACAACAUUCGGCACUCUCACUCCUUAAGAGAGGUCAGGGGUUCAAGCCUCGCUCUCGUAUGGAGUCACCACUUUGACCAGCACUUUACCCCUUACAGACCGACCCGGUGCGAGCAUGAAUUAGUCUGGGUUGUGGUACGGGCUUAAAGGUGCCUCCCACAAUUGAGACCCACUCAGGACCACCUCGUGGUUCGGACAAAAAAAAAAUUGAAAUAAAUUAUCUCAAAAUAAUUACUAACCAGAAAAAACAAAGGGGUUUAACUAGGUUAUGCAUACCUUUGAAAAUUAUAUGUUGAUCGAUAAGCAUGAUGAUCACGAUUGAGGAGUUUAAUUAAAAUUUAUAAGAUUUUAAAAUUAAUCAGGGUUAAAUUCUAAAUUUUAGAAAGAGAGGUUUUGUGAGAAUGCUGAAAGGGUGUUAAUAGUUCCACUCUUUUUUAAAAAAACCAUAGUCAUCAUUUUUCCCGAUUUCUUCUUCCCAUCUCCAUCUUAUUUAGAAAUUUCCCAGAGCCUUUGUUUCCCACCAUUCAUUUUUCUUCUUUCUAAUUUAAGAUUAUAGUAUUAUAAAAAUAAUUACUCACAUUUUAUCAAACACCUCCAUUAUACCAAGGCCUUGUUUUAGUAGUAGGCUUUUAUUAUCUCAAUAAAAUUGAAAAAACAAAGCUCAAUAAUAUUGGAAAAAAAACCUACCCAUAUUUGUAACUUUAAUUUAUUAUUCUCCAUAGACCUACUUUUUAGCUUUGAAUUUUGUUGGAGCCAUAUAUAAACAGAAUAUGUUGAAAUCAGCACAAAAAAAAAACUAAUUAUAUAAUUUUUGUUCCCAAGGACACGACUGUGUGAUUUUUAAGAAGUUUUGUUUGGCUGGCCACUUAGGUUUAAAUCUUGGUGGAGAUUAGGGGUUAAGAAAUAAAUUUGGACUUUGCACACCCCUUUAACUUUUAAAAAGAAUGAAAAAAACUAAUUAAUUAAUCUUUAUUUUAUUUAUUAAAUGUCAUAAUCAUAUGCAUAUUUUAUUUGUUAUCUUUCUAUUUAAAAGAUAGGAGGGCAAAUAAAACUGAAAUAAAUGUUUAUCCCUAUCUCCAUCUUUCAAGUUCCAUAGUUAGGUGACCAGCUAAAGAAAAUUAAUUGAAAGUUACUCCAUCAAAUUAAAAAAAAUUAUUUAUUUAAUUUGUGGAGAUGUAGAAAAUCAAACCCCAUACCUUUUCGCAUGCAAAAGUGUCAACCUGGUCUAGCUAUGUUGCAACAGUAAACAUAUUUUAAUACAUGACUAUCAUCUUUUAUCCUAAAUACUACUAUAACUAUGGGUUCAGUUAUGCUGUAACUGUGGUAUGGUACCACAGUUGUUUUCAACCAUUAAAUUCAACUUAUAUAACUAUGCAACUGUAGAUCUAACGGCUGAAAGCAACUAUGGUACCAUACCACAGUUGCAACAUAGUUUUGCCCCUAUAACUCAUAACAUUCAAUUGAAAUAAUAAAUGUUAACACUUGGCUAUAAAUAAAGGUUUUGUACUUGAAUCUUCAUGCAUGACCUUCAUUCCUUUAUUGACUUUGCUAACACAGAUUUUGAGGCAUUAAAACUAAAUAAUAAUUGACUUUGUGGGCCGAGGAUGCCAGCAACAAGGAGACCACAAUUAUCACUAGUUAAGUUACUCUAAUUGCCGUUGUCUUAUAUUCAUAAAAUAUUAGUAAUAAGAUUAUUGUAGAAUUUUUUUAUAUUAAAAUUAAGUCAAUUUGUUAUAACAAAUUUAGUUGAGUUUAAUCGUGUUACUACAUACAUUGAAUAAUAAUAGAAUUCUCGACAAAUAUUUCAAUAUUUUUAUCCCAAGCGUUGGAGUGGCAUUUAUUUGUUAGACAAUCGAUUUUAGAACUUAUAAAAUUAUUCGUUACUGAAUUGCACCAUAUGCUGCAUGACCUGAAACUUAAUAAACGGAACGUAGCGUUGGCAACAUUCACUGUCAUGACUUUGUGACAUUAGAAUUAAAUUUUUUUGCACAUUUAAUUUGUUUACUUCCAAAUUAAUAUUUAACAAAAUAUUUUUUCACAUUAUCAAUGGACAAAACUCCAACGAAAAUAACUAUACAAUAUAUGCUAGUAUUGUAUGCCAUAUCAUCUGUAAUUUUGUCAGGAUCGAUCAUUUUAAUUUUUAAGCAAAACUUUUUAUCAAUGGACAAACACCUCACACAGCUUGUCAGAGGCAUUAUUAUGAUGGAAAACUGAUAAACAGUGAACUCGAAACUCAAUUACUACAAGUCGUUUAGAGGAUUCAGUCUUGGAUGACUUGUCACUUGUGGAAUUCUUGAAGCCAGAACCGACAUAAUCUCAGUCGUCAUUCUGUCUUAAGUAAUACACAUGGUUUGCAUGUGUGUUGAAGCUGACUCUUUGCUUGGAUCAAGAAACGACGUCUUUGAGUGCCGUUUCUUAAACACACUUUAAAUCAGCUUGUGUCAAGCACGUGAGGUAGAGCUUUUUGAAUAGAUUUGGCGGGAAUGGUAGUUAGUGUAACAACCCAGAAAUAGAGGUUAAAAGGUGAAGGCUUUGUCAUCAUCUACACAUGAUUUGGGAAACAUUGAGAGUAGAGAAAAAGAUAGAGAGAGAAAGGGGUUAACAAGUUCUUGUUCUCUGUAAAUCGAUUUAUAUUCUUGUAAAGUUUGUGAUCUCAAUUAGUGAAAGACUGUUGCUUUGUUUCCAGUGGAUGUAGGCACCACUUCUUGGUGCUGAACCACUUAUACUUGGUGUCAUAUUGUUUCUUUAAUGCUUUGAUUCUUGCGUGUGAUUGUUGCUGGAUAAUCUGUGCUGUUAAUUCUCAAACCAUUGAUACAGAAUUAAUGUCUUGGGGAGAAUUUGGUUAGUCUUAUCAAAGCCGAAUUCACAACAAAUUGGUAUCAGAGCCCUCUUUUCUGUAUCAAGGUUCAAGAAAUGACUAACAAGGUGGAUCUUGAGAAGUUCAAUGGUCAGAAUGAUUUCAAUAUGUGGAGGAUCAAGAUGGAAGCAUUGUUAAUCACACAAGGUCUGGGAGAUGCCAUUGAUCCAGUCAUUAAGAGUGAAAAUGCAGAAGCCUAUUCUUCAAGAACUCCAGAACAGAUGGCUAAGAUUGAAAAAAAGGCAAGAAGCACCAUCAUCCUCAGUCUUGGUGACUUAGUGAUAAGGGAAGUUGCCAAGAAAAAGACUGUUGCUAGGCUCUGGGCAAAACUGGAACAAUUGUAUAUGACAAAGUCCUUAGCAAACAGGCUAUACAUCAAGAAAAAGAUGUUCUCACUGAGGAUGAUUGAAGGAGCAUCACUUGAUGAACACAUAGAUGAGUUUAAUAAAGUUUGUGAUGAACUGGAAACAAUUGAUGAAGGACUGAGUGAUGAGAGCAAGGCUUUGCUGUUAAUCAGUUCUUCACCAAAAUCAUAUGAACAUUUUGUGGAUGCCUUGUUAUAUGGAAGGCAAUCACUCUCCUUGGAAGAGGUUAAAUCUACUCUUGGUACCAAGAAGUUAAAAGAAAAACAAGAUAACUCAGAGAGUGAAUCAAGUGAAGGGCUGAUGGCAAGGGGCAGAUCUGAAAAAAAGGAGUACAAAGGAAAAAAACAAGGGAGAUCAAAGUCAAAGCAGAAACAUUUGAAGUGUUUUCACUGCCACAAAGAAGGGCAUUUCAAGAGGGAUUGCCCUGAGAGAAAAACAAAGCAAAAGGAAUCAAAAGACAAAUCUGGAAAUACAGCAAUAGCCACAGAAGAAACCAGUUUUGAGAUAGCUGAAGUCCUCAUUGCCACAAAAGAAAAAAACUCAAGGUCAGUGGGUACUAGACUCUGGAUGUACUUUUCAUAUGAGUCCAAAUAGAAAUUACUUUACUACAUAUCAGUCCUGUGAUGGGGGUAUGGUGCUGAUGGGAAAUAAUUCAGUUUGUAAAGCAGUUGGGAUUGGGACUGUAAGCCUUAAGAUGUAUGAUGGCAUGGUUAGAGAACUAACUCAGUUUAGGCAUGUUCCUGAGCUUAAAAGGAACCUAAUAUCUAUUGGCAUGCUUGAUCAAACUGGAUGUGUCAAUAAGGCUGAAAAUGGGUCAUUGAAAGUUAUCAGAGGCUCAAUAGUCAUAAUGAAAAGUUCCAAGCAAAAUGGUUUGUAUGUGUUGAAUGGACAUACAACUGUUGGAGAGGCAAGUGUCACUGAGAAGAGUGAAGACAAAGCAAGACUAUGGCACUUGAGGUUGGGGCAUAUGAGUGAAAGGGGAUUGAAGGAGCUUCAAAAGAAUGGGGUGUUUGGAAGUGACAAGCUAAGUUCUUUGGGGUUCUGUGAAGACUGUAUCCUAGGGAAGGCUUCCAAUCUCAAGUUUGAAUCUGCAGUUCAUUCUACCAAAGAGAAGCUUGCAUAUAUACACUCUGAUAUGUGGGGGCCUGCACAGGUAAAUUCUCUUGGUGGCUUUAAGUAUUUCUUAUCCUUAAUAGAUGACUAUUCAAGGAUGGUUUGGGUGUAUGUACUCAAAACCAAAGAUGAAGCUUUGGAAAAGUUUUAGAGGUGGAAAAUUCUGGUAGAAACACAGACAAGUUUGAAAGUAAAAGCUCUAAGAACAGAUAAUGAAUUGGAAUUCUGCAACAAAGAGUUUGGAGACUUUUGUAAAAGACAUGAGAUUAUGAGGCACAAAACAGUCAUACACACACCUCAGCAAAAUGGUUUUGCUGAGAGAAUGAACAGAACCUUAAUGGACAAGGUGAGGUGUAUACUGCUAUACUCAAAGCUGCCUAAGUCACUCUGGGCAGAGGCCUUAAACACAGCAUGUUACUUGGUAAAUAUAAGUCCAUCUACAGCAAUAGAAUGCAAAACACCUAUCGAGCUAUGGUCUGGAAGGGUUGCAGAUUACUUUAAACUGAGAAUCUUUGGAUGUGUUGCUUAUGCAUAUGUCAAACAAGGCAAAUUGGAGCCAAGAGCUUUAAGGUGUAGAUUUCUAGGAUACCCUGAUGGAGUUAAAGGCUAUAGGCUAUGGUGCAUUGAUUUGAAGCCACCAAAAUGCAUUAUCAGCAGGGAUGUAACUUUCAAUGAGUCAGAAAUCUUGAACAAAUCCAAAACCACUUAAUCCAAAGAUCAUAUAUCAGAAACAAGACCUGGGAGUGUUCAGUUUGAGGUGGAGUCCUAUGAACAAGAUAGGACUGAAUCAGAAACUGAAGGAGAUUCAGGAAGGGUUACUGAUGGAUUUGAUGUUGUUCAGGAGUCAGAGCCAGCUGAGAAUGAAGAUAAUUCUUAUCAGUUGGUCAGGGAUAGAAAGAAGAGAGCUGUAAGACCACCUAAGAGGUAUACAAUAGCAGAUUUCAUAGCUUAUACAUUAACAGUUGCACAAGAGGUAAAUGAGGAAGAGCUAAGAACCUAUAAAGAAGCUAUAAACAGCAUGGAUAAGAUGAAAUGGAAGGAGGCUAUGGAUGAGGAAAUUGAAUCACUAAUGAAAAAUGGAACUUGGAAGCUGAUAGUUAGACUAGAAAAAAGGAAGACUGUUAGCUGCAAAUGGAUCUUCAAAGUUAAGGAAGGUAUAUCUGAUGCUGAACCUAGUAGGUUUAAAGCUAGGCUGGUAGCAAGAGGCUUCACACAAAGAGAGGGGAUUGAUUUCCAUGAAAUCUUCUCUCUAGUUGUGAAACAUGCCUCCAUCAGAGUCAUCUUAGCUUUAGUUGCCAUUCAAGACAUGUACCUGGAGCAUAUGGAUGUUAAAACAGCCUUCCUGCAUGGUGAAUUACAAGAAGAAAUUGUAAUGGAACAGCCUGGGGGGUAUGUGGUGUCUAGUAAGGAAAAUCAUGUGUGCUUACUAAAGAAAUAUUUAUAUGGAUUAAAGCAGUCUCCUAGGCAAUGGUACUUGAAGUUUGAUAGUUUUAUGACAAAACAUGCCUACAAGAAAUGCAAUUAUGAUUGUUGCGUGUACUUUAGGGACAUUGGUGAUGGAAAGAUGAUUUAUCUUAUGCUGUAUAUGGAUGACAUGCUUAUAGCAUGUCACAGCAUAGAUGAAAUCAGUCAUUUAAAGAAUCUCUUGAGCAGUGAAUUCGAUAUGAAAGAUCUUGGAGCUGUAAGGAAGAUCUUAGGUAUGGAAAUUAUCAGAGACAGGAGAAGGAAGCUUAUGUUUUUAACCCAACAGAGCUAUGUUAAGAAGGUGUUGCUUAGAUUUGGGAUGCAUGAAUCCAAGUCUGUUCAAACACCUUUGGCAAAUCACUUCAAGCUGUCUGCUGCACAUUGUCCACAAACUGAUGCAGAGCAAGGAAAAAUGGCAAGGAUACCUUACUCCAGUGCAGUUGGGAGCCUCAUGUAUGCCAUGGUUCUCACUAGACAUGAUAUCUCACAUGCUGUGAGUAUAGUGAGUAGAUUCAUGGCAAAUCCAGGUUAUGAGCAUUGGAGGGCAGUCCAGUGGAUAAUGAGGUACCUGAAAGGCACUAUGGAGUUUGGUCUGCUAUAUGGAGGGUUAAAACAGGAAGGGCACAAGCUGGUGGGGUAUGUUGACUCAGACUUCGCUGGAGAUCUUGAUAAAAGGAGGUCUCAGACAUGUUUUAUAUUCACUUUGGGAGGCUGCACUGUGAACUGGAAAGCUACUCUGCAAAGUGUGGUAGCUUUGUCCACAACUGAAGCCGAAUAUACAGCAGCUGCAGAAGCUUUUAAGGAAGUCAUCUGGUUAAAAGGAAUGGUCUCAGAGUUAGGAGCAAAACAAGAAACAGUUGAAGUAUACUGUGAUAGCCAGAGUGCAAUACAUUUGAGUAAAAACCAGACCCAUCAUGAAGGAACAAAACAUAUUGAUGUAAAGCUUCAUUUUGUAAGACUUGAAGUUUCAAAGGGAACUGUGAAGAUGCUCGAGGUUCACACUGAUCAAAAUCCAACCGAUAUGUUGACUAAAGCUGUGCCUUCUGCCAAGCUCAACUUCUGUUUGAGCUUAGCAGGAAUUUGCAGUUUCUGAUCAGCUGCAAAAGAAAGGGAAUAAAGUAUACAGGAGUAGCUAGAGUUCAGAGUUCACACUGAUUAAAAGGUGCAGGCUUUGUCAUCGUCUACACAUGAUUUGGGAAACACAGAGAGUAGAGAAAAAGAUAGAGAGAGAAAGGGGUUAACAAGUUCUUGUUCUCUGUAAAUCGAUUUCUAUUCUUGUAAAGUUUGUGAUCUCAAUUAGUGAAAGAUUGUUGCUUUGUUUCCAGUGGAUGUAGGCACCACUUCUUGGUGCUGAACCACUUAUGCUUGGUGUCAUAUUGUUUCUUUAAUGCUUUGAUUCUUGCGUGUGAUUGUUGCUGGAUAAUCUGUGCUGUUAAUUCUCAAACCAUUGAUACAGAAUUAAUGUCUUGGGGAGAAUUUGGUUAGUCUUAUCAAAGCCGAAUUCACAACAAAAACUGUAAUGGUAUAUCUUGAAUUAUUGGUAGAAUAGUUCUUUGGAGCAAUAAAAACAGAUAAGACAGAUGAGAAAAUUGUCAAUACCCCACCGCAAAAGCAAAAGAAAACAAGGAAAGGAGACAAAAGAGGAAGAAGAAAAAGAAAAAAGAACGAAGAAAAAAAUGGUGCCGUGCGGUAUAGGCAAGAAGAAAAAAUAAUAAAAAAUAAUAAAAUAAUAGUGCACAACAAUCAUUUGAUUGCUAUAAAUAAAAGGCGUUUCCCUCAUUUUAUUCAUCGAAUUCUUCAGUUCCUUUCAAGCGAUUUAAGAGUCUAGUGAUUUGAGAGUUUGGGUGUAGUAUGAUUUUGGGUAGUGAGCUAAAAUACUACAAUACUUGUAACUCAUUUUUAUUAGUAAAAUAUUUUCCUUCUGACUUCGCCCGUGGACGUAUGCUAAAAGCCGAAUCACGUAAUUUCUGGUGUCCCUAUGUGAUUAUGUGUCUCAUUAUUUCUUAAUUUCACUUUAGUUGCGUGUCUGCGACACCCCUCAAUUUAUUAACAAAAAAUGGCCAAAAUUAUAUAAGUGACCCAAAUUUUUUUGUUAUUUCCAAGAAAUCCCCAAUCUGAAUGGGCUAGACCAGAGGGAGGCAAGUUAGAAAUACAUUUCCUUCAUAGACAAUAACAGUGAUGAGUCGAUGACAUCAAGCCACGUCGGUAUCAAUAUUGAAUUAAAGGUGCAAUUAUUCAGCCAAUGAACCUUACACAUCAAGAUAAAAGUCAAGAAAAUGAAAAUUUAUCCCAAUUAAAACACUUUCUGGCUGCAUUUAGUUGUUUCCAUUAGAAGUUAAAAACAACGUUUCUUUCGUUUUGUGGGCAACUCAACUGAGUUAGCUGGCUUCUAGUGCUAGUAUGUGAAAAUAGAAGGCUAAUGAUUUAUUUAUUAUCUUUUGACAAAAUUAUUAAAGAUAUAAUAGAUUUUCUAUGAUACAAGUGAAAAAUCACAUCAACAUAGCUUUCAAUCUACAGCAGCUAGCGUUUACCAAACACUUUGUUGUAGCUUUUAAGCUAUAGCUGCCCAACCUCAAUCUCAAACGCACCCUUAAUAGGUUGAUUGAAUUUGUGAGAUAUGGAUUCCACAUAUCUCAUGACCUAGUAAUUAUACAAGUGGUUCGUGAUCAAGACACAACAUUUGCUUCCGGCCUAGUGACCCAGCAAUCGCUGCACUGGUCGCCACCUAUGGUGCCGACGAUAUUGCAUGGUCCAAUUGUGGCCUUGAAUGGAAAAAGUUGAGCAAAUUAUUUGUGGACACGAUGAUAAGUAACGCAAGCCUUGAUGCUAGUUAUGGUCAAAGAAAACAAGAGGUUAAGAAUACUAUCAGAGAUAUUCAUAACAACAAAAAGGAAAAAAAAAAGGCAUUUGCAAGCCCAUUGAUAUUGGUGAAUUGUCGAUUUCAACUUUGGCAUGUGUAAUCCAGAACCUGCGCGCUGUGGUAUGGCGCUGGCACGCUUGCAUUAACGAGGGGACAAGUCUUGGGGCUGAGCUAACAUUUAAGCUCGCAGAACUCAUGGUGCUAAUGGGAACACCAAAUAUUUUUUUGACAUAUUUUGGUGCUUUCAUGGUUUAAUUCAAGGUAUAGAAAGGAGUGUUGAGAAUGUCAAAUAAAACGGCAUUGAAUGGAAGUUGUCAAAGACACGAUCCGCACCGAACGGCAACGACACGGUUGCUAAAAAUCCUUCCAUAAUAUGCAUAUCUAAUUUUUUAAAAAGUGUAACCUCUGCAUUUAUAAAUAUACUCAAUGUAUAAUGUUUUACUUAAGAAAUGAAAAACUUGUUUGUUCAAGGAGAAUAAAGAAAAUUUUUCUAUGAUUUUUUUAUGGUUUGAACAAAGAAGGUUUUAAUGAGUAUUAUAGACCUCGAUUGAAUGUUCGAAUGUAUAAUAAAAGAGAAACUGUCACAUAAAUGACAAAGAUACUUGGAAAAAAAAAAAGGGCAGCAAUAGAGAAUUAGAUUCGACUGCACAAAUAACUAGUUAAUUCAUCAAUACAUCAUUUUCUUGCUAGAAAAUGACAAUUAUGACAGCAAGCCACGAUAGUGUCAAUAUUGAAAUUGAUUUGCAAUUAUUCAGCCAAUGUGCCUUACACGUCAAGAUAAAAGUCAAGAAAAUGAAAGUUAAUAUCAAUUAAAACACUUCCUGGGCCGCAUUUAGCUCCAGUUUUUGUGGUAGGAAAACAAAGUUUUGUUUUAAAUUCACAUGGUGUGCACUUCCUAUAUAAAUCUAGAGUUGUGUCCCACGUUGAACAAUAAAGGAAAGUCACCUAAAUAUACAUGUAGGAUAAGUUACUUUAUUUAGUAAGUUUGUAUUUUCUUCUUUCUUCUAGUUUACAUAUAAAUUUGAUUAGAUAACUUAACACAUAUUUUAAUACUUGAUCAGAAGCCCUACGUACAGGUGGAUCUAGAAACUUGAUUUCUAAGAGUAAUACUAUAAUAAAAAAAUAAUGAUUCAUAGAACCAAUAUCAAAAUUUGUUUACAAGAUUACCCCCACUCAAAGGUAAUUUUCAUAGAAAUUAAUAGGAAAUUUAAUUGUUAGUGGGGUCAAAUUGCCCCCACACUCUGAAUGUAGAUCCACGCCCGACCCUGAGUCAAGUAUAUUUUGCCACAUAUACUCUGAAUGUCGGCAGGAAAAAUCUUCCACUUUAGUUUAAAAUUUUCACUUAAAAUUUAUUUACGUUAAUAAAGUUGGUAAAGGAAAUGAGUUUAAUUAAAGAAUAUUAUAGGAGAAAUUCUAUUGUUUGGCUUUUAAUAAAUUAAUUAAUAGGUUUAAAAAGAUUAAUAUACAUCAAAAUAUUAUUAGUUGGUGGUGGUUCCACAUCGGACUAAGACGUGGCACCUUACUUGUGAGAUUAAGACAAUCAGGCUUAGACUAUUUAAAUAUGUUUGAAGCUUAGAUGGCACCGCUUCAAUUUGCAUUAAUGAAUGUCAUUCUUUACCCUAAUUACUACGUAAUUGAUAACAUGCAAUUGAAAUAACUAAUAUUAGCACUUGGCUAUAAAUGAACUAAAGGCCGUGCAAUUGAAUCUUUACUUGAUCACUUCAUUCCUUUAUUUUGCUAACACAGAUUUUGAGAUAUUAAAACGAAAUAAUAAUUGAAUCUGGCUUUGUGGGUCGAUGAUGCCAGCAACAACGAGACCACAAUUAUCACUUGUUUAUUUGCUGUAUUUGACGUUGUUUCAUAUUGGUAGUAAUAACUAAUAAGGUCGUUGUAGAGUUUUUAAUCUUUUUUUUUAUAUUAAUCACGAGGUAUCCUGGGGAGGGCCCCAACUGUGGGAGGCACCUUUAAGCUCGUACCACAACCCAGACUAGAAGUCCCCGCUCGAACCGGGAGGCACAGUUUUUAAUCUUUUUUAUAUUAAAGUUAAGUCAAUUUGUUAUAAAUAAAUAAAAAAUUGGUUGAGUUUAAUUAUAUUGCUAUGUACAUUAAAUAAUUAUAAUAUUCUCGAGGGAAAAAGACACCUAGAACCUCAAGGUUUGGGGAAAUGGUCACAAAAACUCCUAAGUUUUAAAAAAGGAACACUAAAAUCUUUUUUUACCCAUAAUACCCUUUGACUAUAGUAAUUAGAAAAUUGACUUUAAAGGUUUUUAAAUAAUACAAAUUUAAUAUAAAUCAUAUAAUCUAUCUAGUACACUAAUAAUAUUAAAUUAUUUUUUAUAUUUAAAAUAAUGUUAAAAAAUUUAAAUUAUUAUAUUUAUUUUAAUAAUAUAUUUAUAAAAUUAUAAAGAUUUUAAAUAAAUCUUUGGAUUGAAUAUAUUUUACAAUUAAAAGUCUUCCUAUUAAUAAUAUUAAAAUUAAAUUUUAAGUAAUAUAUAUUCAAAAUAUUUUUAAUUUAAUUUUAUUUAUUUUAAUAUUAUGUUUCUAUCUAUUAUUAAAAAUUACUUUAAUAUAAUAAAAUAGGUCUAAUAGAUUGAAAAAUAUGAAAAUAUUUUUAAAAUUUUAAAUUAUUUUGAAAUGUAUAUAUUAUUACAUUUAUUUCAAUGUCAUAUUUCCAUUUAUUAUAAAAUUUUGGGGUUAUUUUUUUGGGAAUUUAUAGAGUCAAAGAGCAUUAUGGUUAAAAAAGAGUCUUGGUGUCCCUUAUUGAAAACUUUAGAGUUUUUGUGACCAUUUUCCUAAAUCUUGGGGGUGUUGAAGUGGCACUUAUUGUAAGAUUGAUUUUAAAAUAUGUAAAAUUAAUUUUAUUACAUUACCAUAUGCUACAUCACCUGAAACUUAAUAAAUGGAACGUAGCAUUACUCCACGUUCACCGUUAUGACCUUAUGACAUUAGAAUUAAAAUCUUUCGUACGUUUAAAUUGUUUACUUCCAAAUUAAUCUUUCGUAAAUAUUUUGUACAGAUCUUAUCGGAGUUAGCGUGUUCAUUACAGUGUUUCUUUUCUUUUAUCCUUUCUUUUGAAACGUAUUUCCUGUGGACAAGGAAAGCAAAUAAUACCCUGCCACCAGGACCUCGCGGCUUGCCUGUAAUCGGAUACCUUCCAUUUCUCGGAAUUACUGACUUACACAAGACAUUCACGGAAUUAGCUGGUCUAUAUGGCCCGAUCUUCAAACUCUGGCUUGGCAACAAAUUGUGUGUAGUGGUUAGCUCGCCUUCAACUAGUUCUAUAAGAAUAUCCCUUUUAAGGGAUUCUCUCUCUGCAAAAUUUUUUUAUCUUCUGGUGCAUAAUAAAAACUUAUGCCACUUCAUUAACCACAGAUAUCUUUUGAGGAAACGAUGUUUCGUUUUCUUUUGUUUUUUCCUUCCUAAUCCUCGCAUAUCGUGUGAAGGCUAAUAUAUCCAAGAAUCUAAAUCUCUGUAAAUCUUUUUCUAUCCAAAUCUACAUAAUAAUUUAAUCCAUGCACAAUAUCUAUAAUUAUAUCGGCUGUCGGCUGAUUUCGUGGAGGGGGCGGCAGUUCAAAUUUUUUACGUGCAUGUUGGAUGGACGUCUCUAUUAAAGGAGAGCCACCACUUGCAUGGUAAUUUUUUUAAAUAAAUAUAUACAUUUCAAAAUAUUAUUUCAUUGUUGUAUAGUUAACAUGUCACCUUAGAUGUAUUUUAGAACUUCUCCUAUUAAAGAUAAUCUCAUGCAGUGAUACUUCUCGUGAUCUAAUCAUUAGUAGAAUCUAUAAUUUCGCUACUGUAAUAAAAUCUGUCCCUACCCUAUAUGAAUGUAGAUAUUUGACGCGAUUUGUAAUUGCUUCCGACAGGAAAACAGCAAUAGUUUAAUUGAAAUUUGUGGUAUGGAUUCCACGAAUCUUAUGACAGAAUACUGACCACUCCAACCCUAUCCACAUUUACACGAUUAAAACACAAGCUUAGAUGUGACAAUGCAUUUGUCACUUUUGUUCAAAUUCAUCCUGAAACACUAUACACUAAAUAAUCGAAUAUGGCUUCGUGGGUCGAUGAUGCUAGCAGCAACGAGACUGCAAUUAUCACUUGUUUUGUUGCUGUACUUGUCGUGGUCUAUUUCGCAUGGAAUGUAAACAAAUCAAGUAAAGCAAAUGCUAAAUUGCCACCAGGAUCUCGGGGCUUGCCAGUAGUCGGAUACCUCCCAUUUCUUGGAACUACUGACUUACACAAGACAUUCACGGAGUUAGCUGGAGUUUAUGGUCCGAUCUUCAAGAUUUGGCUUGGGAAUAAAUUGUGUGUAGUGGUGAGCUCGCCUACCCUAGUUAAACAAGUGGUCCGUGAUCAAGAUAUAACAUUCUCAAACCGCGACCCACCGAUCGCUGGAACUGUGACCACCUACGGUGGCAAUGAUAUUGCACUUUCCAAUUAUGGUCCCGAAUGGAAAAAGUUGCGAAAAUUAUUUGUGAGCAAGAUGAUGAGUAAUGCAACCCUUGAUGCUUGUUAUGCUCUAAGAAAACAAGAGGUUAAAAAUACUAUCAGGGAUUUGUACAACAACAAUAAGGAUAAUAUUGGCAGUGGCAAUGGCAAGCCCAUUGACGUUGGUGAAUUGUCGAUUUCAACUUUGGUACGUGUUAUGCAGAACAUGCUGUGGGGUCAAGCAUUGGAAACAAGAGAGAAAGAGAUUACUAAUCUCGGGGCUAAUCUUGCAGAACUCAUGGUGCUACUGGGAACACCAAAUAUUUCGGAUAUUUUUCCAGUGCUUUCAUUGCUUGACAUGCAAGGUAUAGAGAGAAGAGCUAAGAAGAUUUCUCUAUGGUUUGAAAACAUUAUCAAUUCUGGUGUUGAACAGUAUAGAAACAAGUUUUCUGUUGUUAAAGGUGAAGAAGCUGCAGCAGGAAAAAAUAUUGAACGAUCAAGAAAUAAGGACUUCUUGCAGUUACUGUUGGAGCUUCAGGAAAAUGAAGAUAGUGCUUCAUCUAUUAGCAUGAACCAACUAAAGGCCGUGCUCGUGGUAUGUUAAGCAACUAGACACAAAAAGUUGUAAAAGCACAGUGAUAUAUUUGCGCGAGGCCGCGAGUGAUGUUUUGCCUCGAGAACUCUCAAUUUUAUCUUACGGUAAAAAAUGUUUUUCAACUUUUUUUAAUUAGAAUUUUAUUGCAAUUUAUUUAACAGGACAUAAUUGUGGCCGGAACCGACACCACAACUACGAUGGUGGAAUGGACAAUGGCAGAGUUGAUGCAACAUCCACAAGUAAUGAAGAAAGUUCAAGAAGAAUUAGCUCAAGUUGUGGGCAUGGACAGUUGUGUUGAAGAAUAUCACUUGCCUAAAUUAAAUUAUUUAGAUGCUGUGGUGAAAGAAACAUUUCGUUUGCAUCCUGCGUUGCCCUUAUUGGUACCUCGCACGGCAAGCGAGAACAGCAAUAUUGGUGGCUAUACCAUUCCCAACGACACUAAUUUUAUGUUGAAUGUUUGGGCUAUUCACAGGGAUCCUCAACUUUGGGAUAAUCCCUUAGAUUUUCGACCUGAGAGGUUCUUGAAUGAUGAUAUCAUAAGCAAAUUCAAUUACUCGGGUAACAAUUUUCAGUACUUGCCAUUUGGUUCUGGUAGAAGGAUGUGCGCUGGCAUUCCUCUAGCUGAGAGGAUGUUGAUGCUUGUUCUGGCUUCGUUGUUGCACUUGUUUGAGUGGAAAUUGCCCCCGGGCACAAAGCUAGACUUAGCUGAAAAGUAUGGGAUUGUCAUGCGGAAAAAAGAGCCUCUGAUUGCUAUUCCAACACCAAGGCUACCAAAUUCAGAUCUCUACCAGUAAGAUCAAAAUGGUUGUGAUGAUAUUAUUUCCCAUUGUAUUGGAAUAUUUUUGUGUGAUUUGAAGUUCAAUCAUAAUAAAAUAUUUUAAUAAAAUGUCCUCGGUUGCUAAUUUUUCAAUAGUAUACUCUAUCAUCGUUUCUAACUGUCUUUUAGAGCCAUUUGGUCUAAUUUAUUUUUGAAUUAAAAUCCAUAAAUAUUUAAAUUUUUGAAUCAUAUUAAGAAUUAUCUGGAGUGUAUGGUCUGAUCUUCAAGUUCUGGCUUGUAAACAAAUUAGAGUUCUGAUAUUUGCCCCGGGUCAAACCCCGAAAUUAAAUAAAACGGCGUCGUUUUGUUUUUUUUUUUUUUUUUUUCUUUUUUACUUCUUCCAAACGUUGCCAUUUCACUUGUCAUUUGCAAGUGACUCCAUUGAUCCUUAGUUGAAACAGAGUUACACCGUAAAUCUCUUCCUCUUCGUUUCUUCGUUUCACCAGGGAACGAGACAGAUAAAAUCCAGCCAUUCUUCGACAUAACAAGAUAUCGAUUAGAAUCCAACGACAUAACUAUAAACCAUGACAUUGCGCUUGAUUUUGCGAAAUACCGAUUAAGAACCAGUAACUUUGAAUCCAAUGACCGUUAAGAGUUUGAAAUUGGUUUCAAAUGACUAAUGAGUUAUCAGAUUUCUUUGCGUCUACAUUUUCCUUGAAGGUUUCUCAGCAGCCAAACAAAUACAAAGCAAAUUGCAGAAGAAACACAUUUUGUUCCAAUGAAAAAUGUACGGAAACAUUUUAAAUAUGGAAAAUUACCUCAAAAUGAAGGCUCGCAAGAGAUUCGAGCAACAAAUUAGAUCAAAGGAACCGGCGCUGAGCAAGAAAGUGAGCUCAAAGAUUCCGAAACACAAACGUAAAUUCACAAAAAUGCAAAUCUAUGAUGAACGCCAAGAUCAAAAUUUUCGAAGAAAGGGAGCUGAAAAAAUAAAUGAAACGUCAAACUAGAUGACAAUGGAUUUGCUUCUUCAAAGGAGACAAUGAAAUUGUUACUAGAGACAGCUAGAGAAAUAGAGAGAGAGAGAGAGAGAGCUUGAAUUGGCUGUACCCCCACCAGAAAGUGGGUAGUGCCUUUUCCACUUGGACUUGAUAUGCGAAUCUGAAAAAAUCUGAACGAAGGACUGACUCAUCCCAGCUCGAAAGCAAACCAAGCUAGGACUGACUGAAAACGUUGCCGUUUGGAGAAGUUAAAAAAAAAAACUAAACAAAACGACGCCGUUUUGUUUAGUUUCGGGGUUUGACCCGGAAUUUGACCCGGGGCAAACAUCAUUUUCCAACAAAUUAUGCAUGGUCGUGUACACGCUUUCCCUAAUUAAGCAUGAGGUUCGUGAUCAAGGCACAACAUUCACUCCCUGCGACCCAACAAUCGCUACAUUGUUUGCCACCUAUAGUGCCAACGAUUUUGCACGGUCCAAUUAUGGUCCCCAAUCGAAAACGUUGCGCAAAUGUUUUCUGGGCAAGAUGAUAAGUAACGCAAGCCUUGAUGCUUGUUAUGGUCUAAGAAAACAAGAGGUUAAUAUAUAUAUAUAUAUAUAUAUAUAUAUAUAUAUAUAUAUAUAUAAAUUGGCAUUGUCAACUUUUGUAUGUUUUAUUCAGAACCCGCUGUGGGUUGACGCUAGCAUGCUUGCGUUAGGAGACGAGGGGACCAAUCUUGGGGCUGAGCUAAAAUAUAAGCUUGUAGAGAUCAUCUUGCUAAUGGUAAUGUUUUCCGAUGCUGGUUUAAUUCAUGGUAUAAAAAGGAGAACAAAAAAGAUUUUUCUAUGCUUUGAAAAUAUUAUAAUUUUUAUUUUAUAAUUUUUAAUAAAAUCUCUCAUUGAUAGCCAAACAAUUAAAAUUUUUGUAAAGCUUUUGUGGACUUUUGAUCGCGUAUGGUGCCAAUGUAUUGCGUGGUCCUAUUAUGGUUCCAAAUGGAGAAAGUUGCACAAGUUUUUUGAGUACCAGAAGAUCAGUAAUGUAAGCCUUGAUGGUUGUUAUGGUCUAAGAAAACAAGAGGCUAAAAAUUCUAUCUGGGAUUUUUAUAACAACAACAAAAUUGGCAAGCCCAUUGACAUUGGUGAAUUGUCAGUUUCAACCUUGGUAAGUGCGAUUCAGAACAUGCUGUGGGGUGAAACGCUUGAAAUAACAAAGAAAUGGAUUUACUAAUAUUGGGGCUGGGCUAAGAUUUAAGCUUGCAGAACUCACGGUGCUAGAGGGAACACCGAAUAUUUUGGAUAUCUUUCCAGUGCUUUCAUGGUUUAAUAUACAAGGUUUUCAGAGAAUAGCAAAGAAGAUUUCUCUAUGGUUUUAAAAUAUUAUCAAUUCUACUGCUGAACGCUAUAGAAACAACGUCUCUAUUGUCAAAAGUGAAGAAGCAGCAGCAGCAGGGAACAAUAUUGAAGGAAGGAAUAAGGACUUGGUGCAGUUACGCUUGGAGCUUCAAGGUAAAGAAGACAAUGCUUCAUCAAUUAGCAGGACGCAAUUUAAGAGCUUGCUCGUGGUAUGUUGCGCAACUAGCCACAGACAGUUACAGAAACUGAGUUUGGCAGAUUACGACCGUUUCUGGUGAUUACAUAAUUAUUUGUGGCUGUUUUUUUUUUUUAAUUGUAAUUUUCUUAACAGGAUAUAAUUUAGGGUGGAACCAACACCACAACUAUAAUGGUGGAAUGGACAAUGGCAUAAUUGAUACAGCAUCCACAAGUAAUAGAGAAUGUACAGGUAGAACUAAAUCGGGCCGUGGCCAUCGACAGCCAUGUUGAAGAAUUUCACCUAGCUAAGUUAAAAUAUUUAGAUGCUGUGGUGAAAGAAACAUUCUGCACUGUAAUAUAAUACAUGAAUCAUAUGUCCUCUAUUGUUUUUUUAUUUUUCUCUUUUUUUCAAUAGCUUAAUCUAUCAUUAAAAUCUUCUGAAAUUCUAAAUUAAUAUACAUUCAACCUAGAGUUCAAGCCAAAGUUUUAUUGAGCAUUAAAAAAAAAAAAAAUUCUACGACUCAAAAUUUUGUGGAGUAUAAAUUAAAAAUUAUGCGCCUACUAAGAGACAAAAAAUAAAUGAUACACAUUAACCAAUCAAAGGCGAACAAGAGAUUAUUAACAAUAACCUAAUAAUAAAAUUAUAAUGAAUAAAAAAGAAAUGGUACCUAGAAACACAUCACAGCCAUUUAAGCAAUCACUUACCCACAAAAUCCAAACAUAUAAACUAUGUGGGGGGGGGGGGGGGGGGGGGGGGUGUCAUGAUACCUUUGGGUUUCAUGAUAAUCAAAAUUGCAAUACCAUUAAAGACUCAAAAAUAAAAAAAAUCAUAGCCAAUAAAAGAGAAAAAAUAACCCACAAAAAAUCAUCAAGAAAAUAAAUUUGAGACUAAGAGAAGAUAUUAAUUAAACCCUGGGUUGCCUUGGAACCACGGCUUUGGCUUCCAUUUUUCAAUUCUUGGCGACAAGUCAUUUCUUGUUUGUUUACAAAGAUGACGGCUGAUUAAUGAAGCUCUAUUAACAAUGAAUAAAUAAAAAAACUGGCGCCUUGAAAAGACUAACGGUCAUAUUUUUCAACUCCGAAUUAGUGCCGUUUGAUGAGUCCUUGCCAAAACAAUCACUAGGCAAAUAACAAUCAUUUUUCAACCAGCAAAACUCAUUCAUUGUAUUUCACCUUAGUCAAGAUUUAAAAAUUGUUUCAAAAUAAACCUAGUGGUUAGAACCCAAGCGUCACAAUUGUGAGGUCAUGGGUUUGAGCCCCCACAACGUAUUGUGGGGGUUAAUUUUCUUCUUCAAUUUGAGUGAAAACAGUUCUCUCCCUUUCGAAAUGUGGGUGGAGUGGACGUCCCUCAAAUAUUAGAGAGGGUUCAAAUUUGGAUUGUACUAUAUAAGAUUUAUAAAUUAGUCCCAGUAAUUAUCUGAUUGUAAAUAUCAAUAUACUAAUCUAAUUAAAUAUGAGUUGUAAUAUGAGCGUUAGUCUCAUGUAAUUAAAAAAAAAAUGUUUCAAAAUAGGAUUCUUAAAAGGUUGGGGAAAUGGCCAUCAAUAUCCCCAACUUUCCAAAAAGAGACACCAAGACCCAUUUUGACCAUAAUACCCUUUACUUCUAUUAUCCCCAAAAAAUUGACUCUAAUGUUUUAUAAUAAAUAAAAAUAUAACAUUAAAAUAAAUGUAAUAGUAUAUACAUUUUAAAAUAGUUUCAAUAUCUAAAAACCAUUUUAAUAUUUUAAAUCCUAUUAUAUAUAUAUUAAAGUAAAUUUUAUAAUAAAUAGAAUCAUAAUAUUGAAAUAAAUGCAUUAAAAUUUAAAUUAUUUUUAAUAUUAUGUAAAAUAAUAAUUUUAUCAUUAUAAGUAUAUGAGAAUUUUUUUAAUUGUAGAAUGUAUUUAAUGCAAAUAUUUAUUUAAAAUCUCUACAAUAAAUAAAAAUAUACUAUUAAAACAAAUCUCUACAAUAUAUACAUACAUACAUAUACAUUGGCCUGGUAUUUUAUUUUUCAUUUUUUAAACUUAUUAAAUCCUCUAACUAUCAUUUGAUUAUUUUUUUCAAUGAUGAAGAGGCCAUUGCCGGAUAAAUUAUUAAAAUCAACUAGUUCUACAAGAAUGUCCCUUUUUAAAGGAAGAUGAUUCUCUCUCUCGAAAUUUUUUAUCUUGUGCUACAAACUAAAAACUUAUGCCAUUUCAUUAACCACAGAGAUCUUUGAGGAAAUGAUGCUUCGCCCCCCCCCCCCCCCCCCCCCCCCCCCCCCCCCCCCCGCGGCGCCAAAAAGUGUCCUUCCAUAUUUUGUGAAGGCUAAUACAUCGAUGAAUCUAGAUUUCUUUAAAUUUUUUGUUUUACUCAAUUCGAGAUAAUAAAUAGUUUAUCUUUAUUAAAUCUUUACUUUAACAAUGAUAGAUAUUCAAUCCAUGCAAAUAUCUAUCAUUGUAUGAGCUGAUUGCGUGGAGGGAGCGGUAAUUGAAAUCUAAUUGAAAACAGCAGAAGGCUGUUCUUGACAGAUCUCAAAUAUAUUACGGACACGUUGGGAGACAUCUCUAUCAUAGAUAUCCCCAUGCAGUGAUAUUUGUCGUGAUCUAAUUUUUAGUAAAUCUGUAAGAGAGAUUGUAACAUCUUUCAAGUUUUUUGGUUUGAUAUUCUAGACGAAAACGGUUUGUCGUUUCUUGAGCAAACGGCUAACCGUUUAAGUCCAGAGAGCAUGUUUGUUGUUCUGGAUAAAACGGCUCACCGUUGUUGCGAAAACGGCUAACCGUUUAACUCAAGAGAGCAUGUUUUAUGUUCUAGAGAAAACGGCUCACCGUUAUUGAGAAAACGGCUAACCGUUUAUUUACAGAGAGCAACGUAUUUGAUAUUCUGGAAUAAAAUGGCUCACCAUUUAUUGAGAAAACGGCUAACUGUUUAUUUCCAGAAAGGCGUCAAUUAGAAAAACGGUUAGCAAGAAUGAAAAUUUCAAUUGACAAUCGAUGCAAAUUCAAACCAAAAGAGUGUCUUCGAAAAAGUACCAUUUCUAAUGGUUGUAUUCUUUCAAAUAAACAUCUUCUUCAUUAAAGAAAUACACACAAUUAGAUUGAUAAUCAGAUUUUGACAGGUUUCUUAUAUGUUCUGGAAAUACAAUCUUAUUUGCUAGAGAUUGUAUUCAGGAUUUGUUAUAUCUUGGGGGUAAUUUGCCAUUAAAACUAUAUAGCAAACCAAGAUUGGUGAGGGCAAAUAAAACCUUAAAGGAAAGUAUGCAAACACGUCUCAAAUCCUAUGAAACUUUCUUUGUUCUUUGCCUCCAUAUUCUUAUUAUUCACUAACAAAAUCCCCAUGCAGUGAUAUUUGUCGUGAUCUAAUUAUUAGAAAAAUCUAUGAUUUCGCUACUGUAAUAAAAUUUGUCACUACUCUACAUUAAUCUAAAUGUCUGAUGAGAUUUGUAAUUGCUUCCGACGGGAAAACAGUUAAUAGGUUGAUUGAAUGUAUGUGGUAAAGAUUCCACGUAUCUCACGACAGAAUGCUGACCACUGGAACCCUAUCUACUUUUACGCGAUUAAUUCACGAGCUUAGGCACGACAAUUGCAAUACAAAUUAUCCCUUCAUCAUAUAUUUCGUUAAAAUUCAUUCUGAAGCACUAAAACUAAACAAUCGAAUAUGGCUUUGAGGGUCGAUGAUGCCAGCAGCAAUGAGAGUGCAAUUAUCACUUGUUUAGUUUCUGUGCUUGCCGUGGCUUAUUUAGCAUGGAAUGUGAAAAAAUCAAGGAAAGCAAAUGCUAAACUGCCACCAGGACCUCGCGGCUUGCCUGUAGUCGGAUACCUCCCAUUUCUCGGGACUACUGACUUGCACAAGAAAUUCACGGAAUUUAUUUUACUAUUAUAUUUAUAUUCAAAAUAAUUUUAAUUAGCUUUUAAAAUGAAUGAUUUUAGGAAAUUAUAAAUAAAGGUAACUAAGAAUUCUCUUAAUGUAAUAUAUUAUUAAUUAGUUUAAAAAUACAAAUUUAUUAAUUAGAGAAAUUAUUAGUGAAUUUAAAUUAAUGAUCUUAAUGAUUUGUUUGUACGAUUGCCCCCAAUCAAAGGUAAUUUUCCUAAAAAUUAUUAGGAAAUUAGAGAAAUUUAAUUUUUUUAGUGGGUUCAAUUGCCCACACACCCCGACUGAAGCAUUUUUUACAAUAUGUACUCCGUUUGUCGGCAGGAAAAUAAAGGUCUUGACACAUGAUCACUUCACUCCUUUAUUUACUUUGCUAACGCAGAUUUUGAGGUAUUAAAACAAAUAAUAAUUGAAUAUGACUUUGUGGGUCGACGACGCCAGCAACGAGGAGACCGCCAAUUAUCACAUUUUAAGUUUGCUGUAAUUGCCGUUGUUUUAUAUUAGUAGAAUAUUAGUGAUAAGAUAAUUGUAGAGUUUUCAUUUUUUUAAUAUUAAAAUCAAGUCAAUUUAUUAUAAUAAAUUUAGUUGAAUUUAAUCGUAUUACCACAUAAAUUGAAUAAUAAUAGAAUUCUCGACAAUAUUUCAAUAUUUUAAUCUCAAGCAUUGGAGUGGCAUUUAUUUGUUAUACGGUCGAUUUUAGAAUUUAUAAAAUUAUUCGUUGCUGAAUUGCACCAUAUGCUGCAUAACCUGAAACUUAAUAAACGGAACGUAGCGUUGGCACCGUUACUCAACAUUCACUGUUACGACUUUGUGACAUUAGAAUUAAAAUCUUUUCCACAUUUAAUUUGUUUACUUCCAACUUAAUAUUUAACAAAAUGUAUGUUAGCAUUGUAUGCCAUAUCAUCUGUAAUUUUGUCAGGAUCGAUCAUUCUAAUUUUUAAGCAGAACUUUUUGUCAAUGGACAAACACCUCAUACAGCUUGUCAGAGGCAUUAGUAUGAUGUAAAAUUGUAAUGGUAUAUCUUGAAUUAUUUUAGAAUAGUGAAUAACUAUUUGGAGCAAUAAAAACAAAUAAGACAGAUGAGAAAAUGGCUAAAAUUAUAUAAGUGACCCAAAAUUUUUUGCUAUUUCCAAGAAAUCCCCAAUCUGAAUGGACCAGAGGGAGGCAAGUUAGAAAUACAUUUCCUUCAUAGACAAUAACAACGAUGAGUGGAUGACAUCAAACCACGUUGGUAUCAAUAUUGAAAUAAAGGUGCAAUUAUUCAGCCAAUGAGCCUUAGUACACAUCAAGAUAUAUAAAAGUCAAGAAAAUGAAAAUUUAUCCCAAUUAAAACUCUUUCUGGCUGCAUUUAGCUGUUUCUGUUUAGGGAUGGCAAUUUAAUCCGGACCCAGCCCGACCCGGAUGAAUCCAGAAAAUUCGGGGUGGAUUCAACCCGUACCGGAGUGAAUAAAAUCUGAUAUUCAAAUUCAAUAUUUUCAACCCGGACGUUUCCGAGUCCGGAUCCGGAUUUGGGUAAACCCGCAUAUCCGGAACCCGGAUCCGGAUAACUAUUUUAAUAUUAAUUUUUAAAUCAUUUUAAAAUAAAAAAAAAUUAGAAAAAAUCAGCCCUAAUGCCCUUCCACAGCCACGGCAGCCAAACCAAACCCAGACAUUUCCUCUCUCUCUCUUUAGCCCUUCUUUUCAACAAAUCAUCAUCGUUGCUCAUCAUCGUUUCGUCGUGUUCAUCUUCAUCUUCAUCAUCAGCUGCCGUUUGUCCAGCUAUGUCACUAGUUUUGGCCGCCGUUUCCGUUUGUGCACCUUCGCAAAUCGGGAUCUCGAUUUGGCCGCCAACACUUCUACCCCCUGGUGUUUUGCUUUGUCCUCGACAACUUCUUUGUUGAUAAAUUGACGGGCACUUAUGAAUGCAUUUGUCUCUGUUUCUUCAUUUACACCUUCCCAGUUGUUUGUUCAUUUGCUUUUUGGAAGGAAAAAAAAAAAAAAUCAGCCACCAUUUAUCCUUCCCCUUUUCUUGACCUAACCCCACAAAGCCCAAUUUGUCAUCAUCAUUCAUUGGCAAAUUUGUUAUCAUCAUGGUUGAGACAUCAUGAUUAUCUUUGAUAAUUGAAUUUGUGUAAUAUGUUACCUUGGAUUUUAUUUCUAAGUAUUUGAUUUUGAAUUAUUUUCCAUUAUUGGUGUUAAUAGAUAGAAGAUUAGAAAGGAAUUCUUCACUGAAUAAAGAGAUGGGAAAUUGCAUCUUUUAGCAAUCAUCCGGGUUAUAAACCCGGAAUCCGGAAACCAGGAUUUUUCCGGGUUUAACCCAGUCCGGACCCGAAUGAAAAAUAUCCGGGUUUACAUCCGGGUCUGGUAUUAAAAUUUAUCGUCCGGAUCCGGAACAGGGAAGACAAAACCCGGACCCGAACCCACAUUUUGCCAUCCCUAUUUCCAUUUGAAGUUAACAACAACGUUUCUUUCGUUUUGUGGGCGACUUGACUGAGCCAGCUGGAUUCUAGUGCUAGUAUGUGAAAAUAGAAGGCUAAUGAUUUCACGUUCACUAGCCCACCUCCCCUCCUCUCGUUUCCUCUGAAUCAAUUUUCACGUGUGGUACCGAUUGAAAAUAUCUCUGACAUUUCGUGGACAUCUCUAUUGAAAAUAUCUCAGACAUUUCACUCAGGCAAACUUAUUAAUAUAAAAAAUCUAUGAUUUUUUCGUCUUAUACUGUAGAAAAAUUUGUCUAUACAUUAAUCUAGAUGUUUGAGGUGGUUUAUACAUCUGUGGUAUAGAUUUAUAGGUUGAUUGAUACGUCUGUGGUAUAGAUUUUAUGUAUUUCAUUAUCAAAUGCUGGCCUUUGGGACCCUAUCUACAUCUAUUUAUAAAACUAACGGGUGCCAGUUAUGCCAUUACAAAUUAUCCCCUCUUCAUACAUUUCCUUAAAAUUCUUCUGAAACACCAAAACUAAAUAAUCGAAUAUGGCUUUGCGGGUCGAUGAUGCCAGCAACAAUGAGGCUGCAAUUAUCACUUGUUUAGUUUCUAUGCUUGCCGUGGUUUAUUUCGUAUGGAAUGUGAACAAAUCAAGGAAAGCAAAUGCUAAACUGCCACCAGGACCUCGCGGUUUGCCUGUAGUCGGAUACCUCCCAUUUCUCGGAACUACUGACUUGCACAAGAAAUUCACGGAAUUAUCCGGAGUUUAUGGUCCGAUCUUCAAGCUCUGGCUCGGAAAUAAAUUAAGUGUCGUGGUGAGCUCACCUUCCCUAGUUAAACAAGUGGUUCGUGAUCAAGAUACAACAUUCGCAGACCGUGACCCGCCGAUCUCAGGACUAGUGACCUCCUUUGGUGGCAAUGAUAUUACAUGGUCCAAUUACGGUCCCGAAUGGAGAAAGUUGCGCAAAUUUUUUGUGGGCAAGAUGAUGAGUAACGCAAGCCUUGAUGCUUGUUAUGCUUUAAGAAAACAUGAGGUUAAAAAUACUAUCAGGGAUUUGUAUAACAACGGCAACAAAAUUGGUAAGCCCAUUGACAUUGGUGAAUUGUCGAUUUCAACAUUGGUAUGUGCUAUGCAGAACAUGCUGUGGGGUGAAGCGCUUGAAUUAAAAGAGAAAGGGACAACUAAUCUUGGGGUUGAGCUAAAAUUUAAGUUUGCAGAACUCAUGGUGCUACUGGGAACACCGAAUAUUUCGGAUAUCUUUCCAAUGCUUUCUUGGCUCGACAUACAAGGUAUAGAGAGGAGAGCAAAGAAGAUUUCACUCUGGUUUGAAAAAAUUAUAAAUUCUACUGUUGAAAAGUAUAGAAGCAAGGACUUUAAUGUUGAAGGUAAAGAAAGAGCAGGGGAAAAUUUUGAAGGAUCAAGGAACAAGAACUUCUUGCAGUUACUAUUGGAGCUUCAAGAAAAUGAAGACGGUUCUUCCUCAAUUAGCAUGAACCAAUUUAAGGCCGUACUCGUGGUAUGUUAAGAAACUAGCCGCAAACAGUUAUACAAGCACAGCUGUAUAUUUUGCAUGAGUGAUAUUUUCAACCUUUUUUUUUUAUAAUUAGAAUUUUAUUGUAACCUUUUGGACAGGAUAUAAUUACGGCUGGAACCGACACCACAACUACGAUGGUGGAAUGGACAAUGGCAGAGUUGAUGCAGCAUCCACAAAUAAUGAAGAAAGUUCAGGAAGAAUUAGCUCAAGUUGUGGGCAUGGACAGUUGUGUUGAAGAAUUUCAUUUGCCUAAAUUGAAAUAUUUAGAUGCUGUGGUGAAAGAAUCGUCUCGUCUGCAUCCUGCAGUGCCUUUAUUACUACCACGCAGAGCAAGCGAGAGUGGCAGCAUUGGUGGCUAUAACAUUCCCAAAGAUACAACUAUUAUGUUGAAUGUUUGGGCAAUCCACAGGGACCCUAAACUUUGGGAUAAUCCCUUAGAAUUUCGACCCGAGAGGUUUCUAGAUGAUGGUAUCGCGAGUAAGUUCGAUUACUCAGGUAACAAUUUUCAGUACUUGCCAUUUGGUUCUGGUAGAAGGAUGUGUGCUGGGAUUCCUCUAGCUGAGAGGAUGCUGAUGUUUGUUUUGGCUUCGUUAUUGCACUCAUUUGAGUGGGAAUUGCCAGCUGGCACAAAGCUAAACUUAUCUGAAAAAUUUGGGAUUGUCAUUAAGAAAAAAGAGCCUUUAGUUGCUAUUCCAACACCAAGACUAUCCAAUUCAGAGCUCUACCAUUAAGACAGAAUGGUUGUGAUGAUUUUGUUAAUUUCCGAAGAUUUGUAUGUUAUGUCAAGUUCAAUCGUAAUAAAAUAUUUCAAAUAAGAGUCCUCCGUUGCUUUUUUUUUUUUUUUCAACCGCAUAAUCUGUCGUCAUGCUUGUAUUUGGGGCUACUUUGGAAUAAUUAUGUUUGAAUUACAAUAUAUAAAUAUUACAUUUUAAAAUUUUAUGAGAUUCUAAAUUUAUACACGUUCAAUAACCCACUUCAUAUAUGUUUAACACAAUUUAUAUCAUACAUUGUAUACCCAUUUGUCAUAAAUUACGCUAUUUUAUAUCUCUAAAUAAUAUUACAUAUUGAUAUUAUAAAAUGUUGUUAACUCACGUGUGUAUAUAUAUAUAGCAAGUCACGUGCAUAUAUUAUUGGUUGUUAUAUGUUUGCUAGUUUGAUAGGAUUUCCUUUCCUUGUGAACUAGGGUAAUUCUUAUGUACAUAUAAAUAUUGAUCAAUAAGAGUGCAGAUGAUGACUGCAGUUUUGCAUCGUAGAAAUUCUUCGUAAAAUAUAUAUGUUUAUCAAAAGGCUAUACCAUUCAAUAUAUAUUGGAAAGAGAACAAAGAAGAUCUUCUUAUGGUUUGAAAAUAUUAUGAAUUCUGCUGUUGAACAGUAUGGAAACAAGGUCUGUUGUUAAAGGUGAAGAAGUCACAGGGAACAAUAUUGAAGGAAGAAAUUUCACGUUUAGUUGCUGAAUUUGCCGCUGUAUUCUAUCGGUAGUAAAAAGAUUAGAGUUUUUAUUUUUCUCUAUUAAUGUUAAGUCAAUUUUCUAUAACAAAUUCGGUUGAGUUUAAUUGUGUUACAAUAUAAAUUGAAUGAUAGUAGAAUUUUCAACGAAUAAUUCAAUAUUUCUAUCUCGAUUGUUGAAGUGCCAUUUAUUUGUUAUACGAUCGAUUUUAAAAUUUAUAAAAUUAUUUGUUACUAAAUUGCAUCAUAUGCUAAAUCACCUGAAACCUAAUUUCAUAACUAACCCUUUAUUUUUAGUUCUCAAGAAAUCUUGUAAGAACAAAAUUCUUUUGUAACAAAACGUUUACAACAAAUUAAUUUGUAACUCAUUCCUGUGCGAGAAUCACUCUCAAUUUCCUUCAAUUGCUGUUUAACAAUCAUCUGCUUAUCAAAAUUCAAGCAUAAUCUUUUUUUUUAAUUUCUUCAUCAUUCUUUUGAAAAAAAAAAUCAGGAUAUGCUGUUAAAUUUUGAAAUAAAUUAUCUCAAAAUAAUUACUAACCAGAAAAAACAAAGGGGUUUAACUAGGUUAUGCAUACCUUUGAAAAUUAUAUGUUGAUCGAUAAGAAUGAUGAUCACGAUUGACGAGUUUAAUUAAAAUAUAUAAGAUUUUAAAAUUAAUCAGGGUUAAAUUGUGAAUUUUAGAAAGAGAGGUUUUGUGAGAAUGUUGAAAGGGUGUUAAUAGUUCCACUCUUUUUAAAAACAACCAUAGUCAUCAUUUUUCCAUGGUUGUUUUUAAAAAGAGUAUUUCUUCUUCCCAUCUCCAUCUUAUUUAGAAAUUUCCCAGAGCCUUUGUUUCCCACCUUUCAUUUUUCUUCUUUCUAAUUUAAUAAUCCACCCUUCUUGUAUUCAAACUAAAAAAUUAAAAUCUGAAAAUUUAAAACCCAAUAUUAUAGUAUUAUAAAAAUAAUUACUCACAUUUUAUCAAACACCUCCAUUCUUCCAAGGCCUUGUUUUAGUAGUAGGCUUUUAUUAUCUCAAUAAAAUUGAAAAAAAAAAUCUCAAUAAUAUUGGAAAAAAACCCUACCCAUAUUUGUAACUUUAAUUUAUUAUUCUCCAUAGACCUACUUUUUAGUUUUGAAUUUUGUUGGAGCCAUAUAUAAACAGAAUAUGUUGAAAUCAGCACCCAAAAAAAAAAAAACUAAUUAUAUAAUUUAUGUUCCCAAGGACAUGGCUGAGUGAUUUUCAAGAAGUUUUGUUUGGCUGGCCACUUAGGUUUAAAUCUUGGUGGAGAUUAAGGGUUAAGAAAUAAAUUUAGACUUUGCACACCCCUUUAACUUUUAAAAAGAAAUGAAAAAAUUAAUUAAUUAAUCUUUAUUUUAUUUAUUAAAUGUCAUAAUCCUAUGCGUAUUUUAUUUGUUAUCUUUCUAUUUAAAAGACGAGGGCAGAUAAAACUGAAAUAAAUUUUUAGCCCUAUCUCCAUAUUUCAAGUUCCAUAGUUAGGUGACCAGCUAAAAAAAAUUAAUUGAAAGCUACUCCAUCAAAUUAAAAAAAUUUAUUUAUUUAAUUUGUGGAGAUGUAGAAAAUCAAACCCCAUACCUUUUCGCAUACACUGAACAUAUUUUAAUACAUGACUAUCAUCCUUUAUCCUAAAUACUACUAUAACUAAUAACAUACAAUUGAAAUAAUUAAUGUUAACACUUGGCUAUAAAUAAAGGUUUUGUGCUUGAAUCUUCACGCAUGACCUUCAUUCCUUUAUUGACUUUGCUAACACAGAUUUUGAGGCAUUAAAACUAAAUAAUAAUUGACUUUGUGGGCCGAGGAUGCCAGCAACAAGGAGACCACAAUUAUCACUUAAGUUACUCUAAUUGCCGUUGUCUUAUAUUCAUAGAAUAUUAGUAAUAAGAUUAUUGCAGAAUUUUUUUAAUAUUAAAAUUAAGUCAAUUUGUUAUAACAAAUUUAGUUGAGUUUAAUCGUGUUACUACAUAAAUUGAAUAAUAAUAGAAUUCUCGACAAAUAUUUCAAUAUUUUUAUCCCAAGCGUUGGAGUGGCAUUUAUUUGUUAUACGAUCGAUUUUAGAACUUAUAAAAUUAUUCGUUACUGAAUUGCACCAUAUGCUGCAUGACCUGAAACUUAAUAAACGGAAUGUAGCGUUGGCACCGUUACUCAACAUACUGUUACGACUUUGUGACAUUAGAAUUAAAAUCUUUUGCACAUUUAAUUUGUUUACUUCAAAAUUAAUAUUUAACAAAAUAUUUUUUUCACAUUAUCAAUGGACAAAACUCCAACGAAAAUAACUACACAAGAAAAAUGUAUGCUAGUAUUGUGUGCCAUAUCAUCUGUAAUUUUGUCAGGAUCGAACACUCUAAUUUUUAAGCAGAACUUUUUAUCAAUGGACAAACACCUCACACAGCUUGUCAGAGGCAUUAUUAUGAUAGAAAACUGUAAUGGUAUAUCUUGAAUUAUUGGUAGAAUAGUUCUUUGGAGCAAUAAAAAUAGAUAAGACAGAUGAGAAAAUUGUCAAUACCCCACCGCAAAAGCAAAAGAAAAAAAGGAAAGGAGACAAAAGAGGAAGAAGAAAAAAAGGAAAGGAGACAAAAGAGGAAGAAGAAAAAGAAAAAAGAACGAAGAAAAAAAUGGUGCCGCGCUGUAUUGGGAAGAAGAAAAAAAUUAAUAAAAUAAUAAUAAAUAAUAAAUAAUAAAUAAUAAAAUAAUAGUGCACAACAAUCAUUUGAUUGCUAUAAAUAAAGGGGCAUUUUCCUCAUUUUAUUCAUCGAAUUCUUCAGUUCCUUUCAAGCGAUUUAAGAGUCUAGUGAUUUGAGAGUUUGGGAGUAUUGUGAUUUUGAGUACUAAGUUAAAAUACUAUAAUACUUGUAACUCAUUUUCACUAGUAAAAUAUUUUUCUUCUGUCUUCGCCCGUAGACGUAGGCUAAAAGCUGAACCACGUAAUUUCUGGUGUCCCUAUGUGAUUAUGUGUCUCAUUAUUUCUCAAUUUUACUUUAGUUACGUGUCUGCUACACCCUUCAAUUUACUAACAAAAAUGGCCAAAAUUAUAUAAGUGACCCAAAUUUUUUUGCUAUUUCCAAGAAAUCCCCAAUCGGAAUAGACCAAACUAGAGGGAGGCAAGUUAGAAAUACGUUUCCUUCAUAAACAAUAACAGCGAUGAGUCGAUGACAUCGAGCCACGUCGGUAUCAAUAUUGAAUUAAAGGUGCAAUUAUUCAGCCAAUGAGCCUUACACAUCAAGAUAAAAGUCAAGAAAAUGAAAAAUUUAUCCUAAUUAAAACACUUUCUGGCUGCAUUUAGCUGUUUCUAUUUGAAGUUAAAAACAACAUUUCUUUCGUUUUGUGGGCAACUCGACUGAGUUCGCUGGCUUCUAGUGCUAGUAUGUGAAAAUAGAAGGCUAAUGAUUUAUUUGUUAUCUUUUGACAAAAAAUGUUAAAGAUAUAAUAGAUUUUCCAUGAUACAAAUGAAAAAUUAUAUCAACAUAACUUCCAAGCUACAGCAGCUAGUGUUUACCAAACACUUUGCUGUAGCUUUUAAGCUACAGCUGCCCAACCUCAAUAGGUUGAUUGAAUUUGUGGGAUAUAGAUUCCACAUAUCUCAUGACCUAUUAAUUAUACAAGUGGUUCUUGAUCAAGAACAACAUUUGCUUCCGACCCAGUAACCCAGCAACUGCUGCACUGGUCGCCACCUAUGGUGCCGACGAUAUUGCAUGGUCCAAUUAUGGCCUUGAAUGGAAAAAGUUGAGCAAAUUAUUUGUGGGCACGAUGAUAAGUAACGCAAGCCUUGAUGCUAGUUAUGGUCGAAGAAAACAAGAGGUUAAGAAUACUAUCAGAGAUAUGCAUAACAACAAAAAGGAAAAAAAAAAAAAAAGGCAUUGGCAAGUCAAUUGAUAUUGCUGAAUUGUCGAUUUCAACUUUGGCAUGUGUAAUUCAGACAUUGCGCGUUGUGGUAUGGCGCUGGCACGCUUGCAUUGCCGAGAGGACAAAUCUUGGGGCUGGGCUAAAAUUUAGGCUUGUAGAACUCAUGGUGCUAAUGGGAACGCCAAAUUUUUUUAACAUAUUUCGGUGCUUUCAUGGUUUAAUUCAAGGUAUAGAAAGGAGUGUUGAGAAUGUCAAAUAAAACGACAUUGAAUGGAAGUUGUCAAAGACAUGAUCCGCACUGAACGGCAAUGACACGGUUGGUAAAGAUUUUUUCAUAAUAUGCGUAUCUAAUUUUUGAAAAAUUGUAACCUCUGCUUCUAUAAAUAUGCUCAAUGUAUAAUGUUUUACUUAAGAAAUGAAAAACUUAAUUCUUUAUGGUAUCAGAGCGAGGCUCGUUGCUCUGUUUGUAACAAAAACAAAGAAAACUAAAUUCUUCCCACAACUAUUUUUCCACCUUUUUUUCUUCCUUAAAAGCAUUCCUAGCAUUACAGAAACCCAUGCCAAUAAAAGAACAAGCCACACAUAUGUAAAAACUUUAGUUUACAAAUCUAUCAACAUCCCCAUAAAUUUUCCCAAAAAGUGAUCUUCAAAAACCAAAAAUACCAUCAAUUUUCGCAUCUUCUAGUAAACAAACUAUAAAAGUUUCGCACUCAAACAGAGCCACACGCGCCUCCACGCGCUUCCCGGAAUCACGGCCAACCACCACGCGCCUCUGUCACCACCAACUCACCCUCAUGCGCUCCAGAUGUUGCAGAAGACGCAAAACGACGUGUCGUUUUCUUCUCUAAAAGUGCAGCAACGUGGAAAUGACUUUUUGUUUUUGCCUUAAAUUGUUUUUCCUCGUUUGAAGCUAUACAACAUUUUUCUUUCUAAACCUGUUUUUUACAAUAAAAAAAGAAAAAAAUGGAGAAAACUCCAACUGAAUCUACUCAUGUUGUCAUUCAAUCUGUUCAACCUGAUGGAGUAUUUAAUGCCGAAAUUAUCCUUACUAAGACAAACUACGAUAUUUGAUCUCAAAUAAUGGAGAUGCAUCUCGCAGAAAGAAAAAAACUCCCAUAUAUUCGUAGCAGCAUAAAUCCAUCUGACAAAUUUUCAAAGAAAUAUGAGAAAUGGUAUAGUGAGAACCAAAAAGUAAAAAGAUGGUUACUCAUAACCAUGUGUCCUGAGAUCAUGAAGCGAUAGUUACAAAUUCCUACAGCCUACGAAAUUUAGAAUGCAUUAUCAAAAGCCUUUUAUAAUGGAAGCGAUGAAAUACAAGUUUUCACUCUAAAUCAGAAGGCGUUCUCUACGAAGCAAAAUGGACAACCACUCUCUAAAUUCUACGGAGAAUUGAUCAAAAUGUUUCAAGAACUUAAUCACCGAGAUAAAGUGGUCAUGAAGGAUCCAGAAGAUGUUAUAAUAUAUAGGAAGUUUGUUGGAAGAUUGAGAGUGCACAUUUUUCUUGCUGGACUAGAUGAAGAAUUUGACCAAGUUUGUGGAGAAAUUCUACGAAAAGAUACUAUCCUAGACUUAAAAGAAUGUUAUUCUCUAAUCCGAAAAGAAGAUGUACGGCAAAGCAAACUAACAAGAAGGUGGACGACUCAGAAACGUCUGCUAUGAUACCACAAGAGAACAAUGUUUUGAAAUUGUUCGAUAUCCUGACUGGUGGGAUACUCGAAGUAAUAACACAAAGCAGAGAUAAAAAACUGCAGUAGCUGAAUCCACAUCCACUACAGAUCUUAGAAAAGAAUCUUCAGCGCAAAUUGCAACCUCUGUCAAUUCAGGUAAGGUCAUUAAAACUCUUACAUUUGUUAUUAAUAGUAUAUGGAUAAUUGAUUAUGGUGCAACUGAUCAUAUGACUUUUGAUUCUUGACAAGUUUCUUAAUUGAAACCAUCUUCACAUAAACAUGUUUCUACUGUAAAUAGAACCACAACCUCAGUUAUUGGGGAAGGAUCUUUACAACUCACAAUUAAAUCAAAUUUAGACUUUGUGUUAAUUGUUCCAUCUUUAAAUUAUAAUCUUUUAUAUGUGUCUCAAAUAACCUCUUACUUAUCAUGUGUUGUAAUGUUUUGGCCCGAUCAUUGCAUGUUUAAGGACAUCCAAAUGAAGGAAACGAUUGGUUAUGAUAUUAAAUAAGGCAACUUGUAUUACCUGGAGAUGACAUCAACAAACACUGAAAAGCUAAGCCCCGCAUUAGUAGCAGACAAUUCCAUGAAAAAAAAGGAAAUAAGAAAUUUGGUUAUGGCAUAGACGAUUAGGGCAUGUGUCAUUUGAUUUCUUAAAAAAAUUGUUUCCUAGUUUGUUUCUGAAAUUUGAUAUUUGUAACUUUAAAUAUGAUGUUUGUGAACUUUCAAAUAGCCAUCGAACUACUUUUCCAUUGUCCUUAAAUAAGAAUCCAAUUCCUUUAAUGGUAGUACAUUCUGAUGUAUAGAGACCAUCUAAAGUUUCUACCAUUGGAAGAGCUCGUUGGUUUGUUACAUUUAUUGAUGAUUGUAGCAGAAUGACAUGGAUUUUUUUAUGAAAUUAAAAUCAUAUGAUGGUGACAACUCUAUUUCAGACACAAAUUUGAGUUCUACAUACUGAUAAUGGAGGCGAGUAUAUGAGCACAACAAUUCAACAGUUUUUGAAAUCACAAUGAACUCACCACCAAACCACUUGUGUGGGGACACUCCAACAAAAUGGCGUUGCUAAACAAAAAAAUAGACAUUUACUAGAAGUUGUUCAAGCAUCACUAAUUUAGGCCCGCAUGCCACUAUUUUAUUGGGGAGAAGCAUUGGCAUCCGUAGCAUACUUGAUCAAUCGGACACCUUCAAUCUUCCUUGGAUUCCAAACUUAUUUUCUAGUUCUAAAUGAAGAAUUAUGUCAUCAAAUGUGUCGAAUUUACCCCCACAUAUGUUUGGUUGUGUUGCCUUCGUUCAUUUGCCAUGACAAGAUAAAUUAUCUCCUCGAGCACUACGUUGUGUGUUUGUAGGGUAUGCCUUACAUCAAAAGGGGUACCGAUGCUAUCAUCCUCUAUUAAGAAAAAAUAUACAUCACCAUGGACAUAAUCUUUCAUGAAGAUAUCAUGUAGUACCCAUCGGAGCUUGAAUUUCAGAGGGAGUAUAAUGAAGAGGAAAUUCAUACUCUUACAUAUCUUUCACCUGAAGAAGAUCAAUCCUCCAUUGAGGUAGUAAACGUUCAAGAUACUGGAAAAGAAAACGACAAUGAUUCUCAGGCUGAGACAAGUGAAGACACAUUUAGGGAGCAAAAUAACUCAGACAUAACCACAAUCGAGAACGAGUCCAUGAAGAGCCACAUGAAGAAAUAUCUAACCAAUCAUCUGCAGAGGAUGAUCCUACCACAAAUCCCAGUCUAAUCAGAAGAAUACUUCCCCAGCAUCAAAAUAGAGGUAUCUCUAAACCCACAUAUAAGACUGACCUCUCUAGUAGAGUCAAAUACCCUAUGAGUCAUUUUGUAUCUAACCAUGGCUUAUCAAAAUCAAAUCAGUCAUUUGUGAAUCAAUUAUCUACUGUGUCUAUUCCUAACAGUGUGCAAUAAGCCUUAAAAUAUCGAAAGUGGAAAGGGCUAUGAAUGACGAAAUGAGAUCUCUUUAAAAAAAAUCAAACAUGGGAACUAAUUGAUCUUCCACCAGGAAAGAAACCAGUGGGUUGCCGAUGGAACUAGUUGAUCAUCCACCUCCAUUCUGACAAGCAAUGUUUAUCAGCAAUAACAAAUGACUGAAGCAUUUUAAUGAGGUUAGUAACGAAAAAGAGUUUAAUUAGAGAAUAUUAUAAGAGAAAUUCUAAUUUUUGAUUUUUAAUAAAUUAAAAUAUCUUAAAAUAUUAUUAGUUGGUGGUGGUUUCAUGUCAGAUUAAGACGUGACACCUUACUAAUGAGGUCGAGACAAUUAGCUUAAAUUAUUUCAAUGCAUUUGAAAUUUCCACUAAUGACUAUAAUUCUUUGUCCUAAUUACUAUGAUAAUUAAUAACAUACAAUUGAAAUAGUUAAUAUUAGCACUUGGCAAUAAAUAAUUAAAUUUCAUUAACACUAAAUAAUAAUUGAAUAUGGCUUUGUACAUCGAUGACGCCAGCAACAAGGGGACCGCGAUUAUCACUCUUUAAGUUGCUUUUAAAAUUGAUUUUAGUAGUGAUAUGAUUAUUGUAGUGUUUUUAUUUUUUAUAUUAAAAUUAAGUGAUUUGUUAUAAUAAACUUAGUUGAGUUUAAUGGUAUUACUACAUAAAUUGAAUAGUUAUCAAAUAUUUUAAUAUUUUUAUGGCAAGCGUUGACGUGGCAUUUAUUUGUUGUAUGAUGGAUUUUAAAAUUUAUAAAAUUAUUUGUUAUUAAAUUACCCCCAGAUGCUACAUCACCUGAAACUUAAUAAAGGUAUGAAGACAUGUGUGUGUGGACUGAAAUGAAGAAUAUGGAAAAGUUGAGAGCUGUUGUGCAGAUUGAGUUCAGUUGAUGGGGUCUAUUAGAUAUUGUCUGCUGACGUGGCAUGAAUUCGUUAUAAUCUGUUAUAACGAGUUCAGUAUAUCAGUAUACAAUAGAGCUGAUGGAUGGUGCCUGUUUUAGAGUCUUUUUUAUAUUCAUUUGUUCAUCAUUUUGCGCAAGAUCUGUUCCAUUGUGAUAUGUGUAAAGUCUUAUGUAAACCCACUUAUGAUUGGAUUAGUUCUUGAUUAAUAACAACGAGUAAAUUUUCCUUCAAGUGUGCUGGUCUGUGCCCCUGUUUUUUGUUCUGAUAUUGUUUCUUUGUUCUGGCAUUUCAUUUCGAUUGUGUUCUUGGUGUUUCUACUCAUCAAGAUUUAUGAGUCUUGUUGAGAUUAAAGACUUAAUAGUCUUAACAAGUGGUAUCAGAGCCUGGUGAAUCUCAGCCAUGUCUCUUUCGAAGCAUGAAAUUGAAAAAUUCACCAUUGGUGGUGAUUUCUCGCUUUCGAAAUUAAAAAUGAGGGCUCUCCUUGUGCAUUAGAGGCUUGAAUUUGCUCUGGAAAAAGAUAAUCUAGAGGCUGCUACAAGUUAUGUGACUGAUGAUAAGAAGAGACAAAUCCAAAACCGAGCUCGUAGCACUCUAGUUUUGAGUCUUGGUGACUCAAUCUUGAGAAAGAUUUCUGAAGAGAAGACAACCUUAGGGAUUUGGAACAAGGUAGAAGCUUUGUGUACAAAGAAGUCGCUAGCUCACAGACUAUUCUUGAAGAAAAAGUUAUACACAUUCUCGAUGAGAGAAGGAGUCACAAUUCAAGAUCACAUUGAUACCUUCAACAAGAUCAUUCUUGAUCUUGAAGGGGUGGAAAAUGUGACAAUAAGUGAUGAAGAUAAAGCCUUCUUCUUGUUGAGUUCCUUACCAAAGUCUUAUGAAGGCUUUGUAGAUACAAUGCUUUAUGGCAGAACAACAUUGACUCUUGAAGAUGUUAAAGCAUCUCUAAGUUCAAAAGAGAUUCAGAAGAACAAUGAGAUUGAAACAAAUAAUGGUGAUGGGCUGAUUGCCAGAUCAGAAAAGAAGAAAGAUCAGAAGAAUAAAAAUCAGGGAAAAUGACAUGGAAAGAAUUAAGAAAAUGCAGACAAGAAGAAAAAGAAGAGAAAAUGCUUCUACUGCCGGAAGGAAGGGCAUUACAUCAGGGAUUGUCUUAAAAAGAAAAAAAAAGAAAGUCAAGAGAAGUCAGGGGAUGCAGCUGUAGCCUCUGAUGAUGCCUCUGAUGGAUAUCACAUUGCUGAUUUACUUGUGGCCUCAAAUAGCAAUACUAAAGGUCAGUGGGUCAUAGACUCUGAGUGCUCUUUUCACUUGUGGCCUGAUAAAACCAUAUUUUACAAAUAUGAAGUUGUUGAUGGUGGUAGAGUCUUAAUGGGAAAUAAUAAUGUGUGUAAUCUUGUUGGUAUUGGUUCUGUGAAGAUCAAGAUGUUUGAUGGAACUGUAAGAGCUCUACAUGAGGUGAGGCAUGCUCCUAGGCUAAAGAGAAAUCUAAUCUCUUUAGGCAUGCUAGACAGCUUAGGGUAUUUCUUUAAAUCAGAAAGUGGUGGUUUAGAGAUAAGAAAGGGGACUGAGAUAGUGAUGAAGGGGGUUAAAGAAAAUGGCUUAUAUGUAUUGUAAGGCUCAUCAGUGCUUCUUCAAAAGGGAAUUUCUGCUCUUUUUGAGGAAGAUAUAACCAAGUUAUGACAUCUUAGACUUGGUCAUAUGAGUGUCAAAGGGAUGUAAGAGCUCAGCAAACAAGGGCUACUUGGUGGGGAUAGAAUCCAGCAACUGGAAUUAUGUGAAAAUUGCAUUUUUGGCAAAGCUCACAGGUCCAAGUUUCACAAGGGGGAGCAUAUGUCUAAGCAAGUUUUGGACUAUGCACAUGCUGACCUUUGGGGGCCUGCUCAAGUCCCAUCCUUGAGUGGUGGCAGGUAUUUCAUAUCACUAAUUGAUGAUUACUCAAGGAAGAUGUGGGUCUACAUACUCAAGACCAAAGAUCAAGCCUAGGAAAAAAUUCAAGGUAUAGAAAUCUUUGGUAGAAAAUCAAUUUGGAUUCAAGCUCAAAUGCUUGAGAACUGAUAAUGGUUUGGAAUUUUGUAGCAAAGAAUUUGAGGAAUAUUACAAAAAAACAUGGCAUAAAAAGGCACAAAACAGUCAGGUUCACCCCCCAGCAGAAUGGCUUGGCUGAAAGGAUGAACAUGACCUUGGUAGAUAAGACCAGAUGUAUGUUGAUAAAUUCAAAGCUUCCAAGAAGCUUUUGGGCAGAAGCUGUCAAUACAACAAGUUGUUUGGUUAACAGAAGCCCAUAUUCUGCAAUUGGCUUCAAAACACCAGAAGAAUUGUGGAAGGAAAAACCUGUAAAUUACCAAAAUCUCAGUGUUUUUGGAUGCCCUGCUUAUCUCCACAUCAAUCAAGGCAAGCUGGAAGCUAGGGCCUUGAAAGGAGUCUUUGUUGGAUAUCCUGAUGGGGUUAAGGGAUACAUAAUCUGGUGUAGAGAGUAAGGGAAGUGUAUAGUCAGCAGGGAUGUUGUGUUUCAUGAAUUUGGAUUGCUAAAAGAAAAUGCAGAGAAUGAUACUAGACUACAAAAUGAUUCAAUAAUUAUCAAACAAUCUGGAACUUCCAAGGUUAAGGUGGAGCUGUUUGGAAAUAAAGACAGUAGAAAAGAGGUAGCUGAUUAUGAAGAGAGGACCACAGCUAAAGUUGAGGAACAUGAGUCAUCAGAGUUGCCACAAGCUGACUUGCAGACUUAUCAGUUAGCAAGAGAUAGAGUUAGAAGAGAAGUCAAAGCACUAGUGAGGUAUGGCUAUGCUGACUUAAUUACUUAUGCAUUGUUGUGUGCUGAUGAUGUGGCAAUUGAAGAGCCUGCUAACUUCUCUGAAGUUAUUGAAAGUGUGCAUUGUGAUAAGUGGCUUGAGGCAAUGCAAGAUGAAAUGGGAUCCCUUCAAAGAAAUCAGACCUGGACACUUGUUCCAAAUCUAGGUAAUAAAAAGUUGAUCAGUUGUAAGUGGAUCUUCAAGAAGAAUGAAGGAAUUCCAGAUGUUGAACCUCCCAAAUAUAAAGCAAGGCUAGUGGCUAGGGGGUUUACACAGAGAAAGAGUGUAGAUUUCAAUGAAAAAUUUUCCCCUGUUCUUAAGCACAUUUCAAUAAGAAUUUUAUUAGUCAUGGUAGCCUUACUUGACUUGGAGCUUGAGCAAAUGGAUGUAAAAACAGCAUUCCUUCAUGGUAAUCUUGAAGAACAGAUAUUGAUGGCACAACCUAAAUGUUUUGAGUGCAAAGGAAAUGAGGAUUAUGUUUGUUUGCUGCAUAAGUCCUUGUAUGGACUCAAGCAAUCCCCACGACAGUGGUACAUAAGAUUUGAUGAUUUUAUGGUCUCAAAAGGCUAUCACAUAAGCAAAUAUGACAGUUGUGUUUACUUUGGUGGAUCAUAUCAAGGUGGAGUUGCUUAUUUGCUUCUGUAUGUUGAAGAUAUGUUAAUUGCAAGAAAAUAUAAGUUGGAGAUAGAGAGGUUGAAGAAAUGAAGGAUCUCGGCAAUGCCAAAAGAAUCCUUGGGAUGAACAUUACAAGGGGCAGAUCUGCUGACACUUUGUUCUUGAGUCAUGAGAAAUAUAUCAAGAAGGUUCUGGAGAGGUUUGAGAUGCAAGACUAUAAACCUGUCCAAACACCACUUGGUCCCCAAUUCAAGUUGACAGCAGCUCAAUCAUCAGAAGAUGAGUCUCAGGUGAGUGAAUUCCCAUAUGCACAGGUUGUAGGGAGCCUGAUGUAUGUAAUGGUAUGCACCAGGUCAGAUAUAGCUUAUGCAGUAAGUGUUGUCAGCAAAUUUCUCAGUUGUCUAGGCAAGGUUCACUGGAAUGUUGUAAAAUGGAUAAUGAGAUAUCUUAAGGGCUCUUUUACUUGUGGUUUGCUGUAUGGGAAGACUAAGAGUGACAUAAGUGAAGUCCUGGGGUUUGUAGACUCUGACUUUGCUGGAGAUCUUGAUAGAAUGAAGUCAACCUCAGGGUAUAUGUUUGUGUUAAACAGUUGCCUGAUUAGCUGGAAGUCAUCACUUCAGUCUGUGGUUGCUUUAUCCUCAACUGAAGCUGAGUUUGUUGCAACUACAGAGGCAGUAAAAGAGGCCAUGUGGCUAAGAGGUUUGCUUAAUGAGUUAUGGUUAAAUCAGAAAAUUGUUCAGGUUUUCUGUGAUAACCAAAGUGUCAUACACCUGGUAAAGAAUCAGAUGUAUCAUGAAAGAACCAAGCACAUUGAUGUGAAGCUCCAGUUUAUCAGAGAUGAGGUUGGAAAAGGAACUAUAAUUGUGUCCAAGAUCUAUACCAGUGUGAAUCCAACUGAUGUUAUUACAAAAGCACUUCCCACUGCAAAAUUUGAAUUCUAUGUGAAUCUAAUGGGCAUCUCGCCCAAACCUAACUAAAUUCAAUAGUGAAUUGUAGUUGAAUGAAGGUUUUUUAGGUGCUGUGUUAUUGAAAGGAUCAACUGAAUCAACUGCAAGGUGGAGAAUGUGAAGAUGUGUGUGUGGACUGAAAUGAAGAAUAUGAAAAAGUUGAGAGCUGUUGUGCAGAUUGACUUCAGUUGAUGGGGUCUAUUAGAUAUUGUCUGCUGACGUGGUAUGAAUUCGUUAUAAUCUGUUAUAACGAGUUCAAUAUAUCAGUAUAUAAUGGAGCUGAUGGAUGGUGCCUGUUUUAGAGUCUUUUUCGUAUUCAUUUGUUCAUCAUUUUGCACAAGAUUUGUUCCAUUGUGAUCUGUGUAAAGUCUUCUGUAAAUCCACUCAUGAUUGGAUUAGUUCUUGAUCAAUAACGAGUAAAUUUUCCUUCAAGUGUGCUGGUCUGUGCCCCUGUUUUUGGUUCUAAUAUUGUUUCUUUGUUUUGGCAUUUCAUUUCGAUUGUGUGCUUGGUGUUUCUACUCAUCAAGAUUUGUGAGUCUUGUUGAGAUUAAAGGCUUAAUAGUCUUAACAAAAGGGAAUGUAGCAUUGCCAUUAAUCAACAUUCACUCUUAUGACUUUAUGACAUUAGAAUUAAAAUCUUUCGUACAUUUAAUUUAUUUGCUUCCAAAUUAAUCUUUAAUAAAUAUUUUUUCACAUUAUCAUCAAUGGACAAAACUCCAACGAAAAUAACUACACGAGAACAAUUUAUGCUAGUAUUAAAUGCCACGAUAUCUAUAACUUUGUCUGGAUCGAUCAUUCUAAUUUUUUCGCAGAACUUUUUGUCAAUGGACAAACACCUCACAGAGCUUGUCAGCCGCAUUAUUACGAUGUAAAAUUGUACCGGAAUAUCUUGAAUUAUUAGUAGAAUAAUGAAGACUAUUUGGGGCAAUAAAAACAAAUAACGCAGAUAAAAAAAUGGCUAAAAUUAUGUAAGUGAGCCCCAAAGUUUUUGCUAUUUCCAGGAAAUCCCAAAUUUGAAUGGACUAGAGGGAGGCACGUAAGAAAUACAUUUUCUUCCUAGACAAUGACAGCUAUGACAUCAAGCCACGGUGGCGUCAGUAUUGAAAUUAAGGUGUAAUUAUUCAGCCAAUGAGCCUUACACAUCAAGAUAAAAGUCAAGAUAAUGAAAAUUUGGCUGUUUCCAUUUGAAGUUAAAAGCAACGUUUCUUUCGUUUUGUGGGCGACUCGACUGAGCACGCCCCAAUAGCUAUAUUUAGGGCGUCAAUUUGAUAUUUGAAUGGACAGGCAAGUAAGAAAUACAUUUCCUUCAUAGACAAUGACAACGAGGACAUCAAGCCACAUCAUUAUAGUUUGUAGCCCAUCUACAUUUAAACGAUUAAUAAACAAGCUUAGGUGUGCCACUGCUAUUAUUAAUUAUCCCCUGAUCAUUAUAGUUUCUGAAACAGUAAAACUAAACGAAAUUGAAUACAUCAACGAGACCGCAAUUAUCACUUGUUUAGUUGCGGUAUUUAACUUAAUUUUAAUAUAAUAUAUUUGUUAGUUAAACUUUUAAUAAUCAAAUAAUUUUGAUUUAAAAAUAAAAUUAUAGAAAUUAUUAAUUAUUAAUUAUUAAAAAUUCACAAUUAAGGGAACGUUCAUCAAACACACAUAGCUAUUGUUUUCUCUAUAUAUUGCAGUGUGUACGAUAUUGAGGGUUGAAGCCCCAAGCAUGCUCUAAAAUCCAGAUAAUAAUUAGAUCCGGGCCAAAUAUUCAUCAUUGUGUCAGCUGAUCAGUCGGUGGACAUCUCUAUUGAAAAUAUCUCUGACAUUUCACUCGACAAACUUAUUAAUAUAAAAAAUCUGUGGUUUUGCCGUCUGAAUAAUGUAGAAAAAUUUGUCUAUGCAUUAAUCUAGAUGUUUGAGGUGAUUUAUACAUCUGUGGUAAAGAUUUAUAGGUUGACUUAGACGUCUGUGGUAUAGAUUUUAUGUAUUUCAUUACAAAAUGCUGGCCGUUAGAACCCUUUCUACAUCUAUUUAUAAGAUUAACGGGUGCCAGCUAUGCCAUUACAAAUUAUCCCCUCAUCAGAUAUUUCGUUAAAAUUCAUUCUGAAACACUAAAACUAAAUAAUCGAAUAUGGCUUUGCGGGUCGAUGAUGCCAGCAGCAAUGAGACUGCAAUUAUCACUUGUUUAGUUUCUGUGCUGGCCGUGGUUUACUUCGCAUGGAAUGUGAAAAAAUCAAGGAAAGCAAAUGCUACACUGCCACCAGGACCUCGCGGCUUGCCUGUAUUCGGAUACCUCCCAUUUCUUGGAACUACUGACUUGCACAAGAAAUUCACGGAAUUAUCCGGAGUUUAUGGUCCGAUCUUCAAGCUUUGGCUUGGAAAUAAAUUAUGUGUAGUGGUGAGCUCACCUUCCCUAAUUAGACAAGUGGUUCGUGAUCAAGAUACAACAUUCGCGAACCGUGACCCACCGAAGGCUGCACUAGUGGUCUCCUAUGGUGGCAAUGAUAUUGCAUGGUCCAAUUACGGUCCCGAAUGGAGAAAGUUGCGCAAAUUUUUUGUGGGCAAGAUGAUGAAUAACGCAAGCCUUGAUGCUUGUUAUGCUCUAAGAAGACAAGAGGUUAAAAAUACUAUCAGGGAUUUGUAUAACAACGACAACAAAAUUGGCAAGCCCAUUGACAUUGGUGAAUUGUCGUUUUCAACAUUGGUAUGUGCUAUACAGAACAUGCUGUGGGGUGAAGCGCUUGAAUUAAAAGAGAAAGGGACCACUAAUCUUAGGGCUGGGCUAAAAUUUAAGCUGGCAGAACUCAUGGUGCUUGCGGGAACACCGAAUAUUUCGGAUGUCUUUCCAAUGCUUUCAUGGCUUGACAUACAAGGUAUAGAGAGGAGAGCAAAGAAGAUUUCACUCUGGCUUGAUAAUGUUAUAAAUUCUACUGUUGAACAGCAUAGAAACAAGGAGUUAACUGUUGAAGGUGAAGAAAGAGCGGGGAAAAAUUUUGAAGGAUCAAGGAACAAGAACUUCUUGCAGUUACUAUUGGAGCUUCAAGAAAAUGAUGACAGUGCUUCCUCAAUUAGCAUGAACCAAUUCAAGGCCGUACUCGCGGUAUGUUAAGCAACUAGCCACGAACAGUUAUACAAGCACAAUUGUAUAUUUGCAUGAGUGAUAUUUUCAACCUUUUUUUUUAAUUAGAAUUUUAUUGUCACCUUUUGGACAGGAUAUAAUUACGGCUGGAACCGACACCACAACUACGAUGGUGGAAUGGACAAUGGCAGAGUUGAUGCAGCAUCCACAAGUAAUGAAGAAAGUUCAGGAAGAAUUAGCUCAAGUUGUGGGCAUGGACAGUUGUGUUGAAGAAUUUCACCUGUCUAGAUUAAUGUAUUUAGAUGCUGUGGUGAAGGAAACAUUUCGUCUGCAUCCUGCAGUGCCUUUAUUACUACCACGUAGGGCAAGCGAGAGUGGCAACAUUGGUGGCUAUACCAUUCCCAAAGAUACAACUCUUAUGUUGAAUGUUUGGGCUAUCCACAGGGACCCUCACCUUUGGGAUAAUCCCUUAGAAUUUCGACCCGAGAGGUUUCUGAAUGUUGGUAUCGAGAGUAAGUUCGAUUACUCAGGUAACAAUUUUCAGUACUUGCCAUUUGGUUCUGGUAGAAGGAUGUGUGCUGGGAUUCCUCUAGCUGAGAGGAUGCUGAUGUUUGUUUUGGCUUCGUUAUUGCACUCAUUCGAGUGGGAAUUGCCAACUGGCACAAAGCUAAACUUAUCAGAAAAAUUUGGGAUUGUCAUUAAGAAAAAAGAGCCUUUGGUUGCUAUUCCAACACCAAGACUAUCCAAUUCAGAGCUCUACCAUUAAGACCAAAUGGUUGUGAUGAUUUUGUUAAUUUCCGAAGAUUUGUAUGUUAUUUCAAGUUCAAUCGUAGUAAAAUAUUUCAAAUAAGAGUCCUCCGUUGCUUUUUUUUUUUUUUUUCAACGGCAUAAUCUGUGGUCAUGCUUGUAUUUGGAGCCACUUUAGAAAAAUUAUGUUUGAAUUACAAUUUAUAAAUAUUACAUUUUAAAAUAUUAUGAGGCUAAAUUUAUACACGUUCAAUAACCCGCUUCAUAUAUAUUUAACACAAUUUAUAUCAUACAUUGUACACCCAUUUAUCAUAAAUUACACUAUUUUGUAUCUCUAAAUAAUAUUACGUAUUGAUAUUAUAAAAUAUAUAUGGAAAAGAGAACAAAGAAGAUUUCUUAUGGUUUGAAAAUAUUAUGAAUUCUGCUGUUGAACAGUAUGGAAACAAGGUCUCUGUUGUUAAAGGUGAAGAAGCAACAGGGAACAAUAUUGAAGGAAGAAAUUUCACAUGUUUAGUUGCUGAAUUUGCCGCUGUAUUCUAUCGGUAGUAAAAAAAUUAGAGUUUUUAUUUUUCUCUAUUAAUGUUAAGUCAAUUUUCUAUAACAAAUUCGGUUGAGUUUAAUUGUGUUACAAUAUAAAUUGAAUGAUAAUAGAAUUUUCAACGAAUAUUUCAAUAUUUCUAUCUCGAUUGUUGAAGUGCCAUUUAUUUGUUAUGCGAUCGAUUUUAAAAUUUAUAAAAAUUAUUUGUUACUAAAUUGCAUCAUAUGCUAAAAUCACCUGAAACCUAAUUCCAUAACUAACCCUUUAUUUUUAGUUCUCAAGAAAUCUUGUAAGAACAAAAUUCUUUUAUAACAAAACUUUUACAACACAUUAAUUUGUAACUCAUUCCUGUGCGAGAAUCACUCUCAAAUUCCUUCAAUUGCUGUUGAACAAUCAUCUGCUUAUCAAAAUUCAAGCAUAAUCUUUUCUUUUUUUUAAUUUCUUCAUCAUUCUUUUGAAAAAAAAAAAUCAGGAUAUGCUGUUAAAAUUUUGAAAUAAAUUAUCUCAAAAUAAUUACUAACCAGAAAAAACAAAGGGGUUUAACUAGGUUAUGCAUACCUUUGAAAAUUAUAUGUUGAUCGAUAAGAAUGAUGAUCACGAUUGAGGAGUUUAAUUAAAAUAUAUAAGAUUUUAAAAUUAAUCAGGGUUAAAUUGUGAAUUUUAGAAAGAGAGGUUUUGUGAGAAUGCUGAAAGGGUGUUAAUAGUUCCACUCUUUUUAAAAGCAACCAUAGUCAUCAUUUUUCCCGAUUUCUUCUUCCCAUCUCCAUCUUAUUUAGAAAUUUCCCAGAGCCUUUGUUUCCCACCUUUCAUUGUUCUUCUUUCUAAUUUAAUACUAUAGGAUUACAAAAAUAAUUACUCACAUUUUAUCAAACACCUCCAUUCUACCAAGGCCUUGUUUUAGUAGUAGGCUUUUAUUAUCUCAAUAAAAUUGAAAAAACAAAUCUCAAUAAUAUUGGAAAAAAAAAACCUACCCAUAUUUGUAACUUUAAUUUAUUAUUCUCCAUAGACCUACUUUUUAGCUUUGAAUUUUGUUGGAGCCAUAUAUAAACAGAAUAUGUUGAAUCAGCACCAAAAAAAAAAAAAAAAAACUAAUUAUAUAAUUUCUGUUCCCAAGGACAUGACUGAUUGAUUUUCAAGAAGUUUUGUUUGGCUGGCUACUUAGGUUUAAAUCUUGGUGGAGAUUAGGGGUUAAGAAAUAAAUUUGGACUUUGCACACCCCUUUAACUUUUAAAAAGAAAUGAAAAAAACUAAUUAAUUAAUCUUUAUUUUAUUUAUUAAAUAUCAUAAUCCUAUGCGUAUUUUAUUUGUUAUCUUUCUAUUUAAAAGACAGGAGGGCAGAUAAAACUGAAAUAAAUUUUUAGCCCUAUCUCCAUCUUUCAAGUUCCAUAGUUAGGUGACCAGGUAAAGAAAAUUAAUUGAAAGCUACUCCAUCAAAUUAAAAAAUUUUAUUUAUUUAAUUUGUGGAGAUGUAGAAAAUCAAACCCCAUGCCUUUUCGCGUGGAAAAGUGUCAACCUGGUCUAGCUAUGUUGCAAAAGUGAACAUAUUUUAAUACAUGACUAUCAUCCUUUAUCCUAAAUACUACUAUAACUAAUAACAUACAAUUGAAAUAAUUAAUGUUAACACUUGGCUAUAAAUAAAGGUUUUGUGCUUGAAUCUUCACGCAUGACCUUCAUUCCUUUAUUUACUUUGCUAACACAGAUUUUGAGGCAUUAAAACUAAAUAAUAAUUGACUUUGUGGGCCGAGGAUGCCAGCAACAAGGAGACCACAAUUAUCACUUGUUAAGUUACUCUAAUUGCCGUUGUCUUAUAUUCAUAGAAUAUUAGUAAUAAGAUUAUUGUAGAAUUUUUUUAUAUUAAAAUUAAGUCAAUUUGUUAUAACAAAUUUAGUUGAGUUUAAUCGUGUUACCACAUAAAUUGAAUAAUAAUAAAAUUCUCGACAAAUAUUUCAAUAUUUUUAUCCCAAGCGUUGGAGUGGCAUUUAUUUGUUAUACGAUCAAUUUUAGAAUUUAUAAAAUUAUUCGUUACUGAAUUGCACCAUAUGCUGCAUGACCUGAAACUUAAUAAACGGAACGUAGCGUUGGCACCGUUACUCAACAUACUGUUACGACUUUGUGACAUUAGAAUUAAAAUCUUUUGCACAUUUAAUUUGUUUACUUCCAAAUUAAUAUUUAACAAAAUAUUUUUUCACAUUAUCAAUGGACAAAACUCCAACGAAAAUAACUACACAAGAAAAAUGUAUGCUAGUAUUGUGUGCCAUAUCAUCUGUAAUUUUGUCAGGAUCGAUCAUUCUAAUUUUUAAGCAGAACUUUUUAUCAAUGGACAAACACCUCACACAGCUUGUCAGAGGCAUUAUUAUGAUGGAAAACUGUAAUGGUAUAUCUUGAAUUAUUGGUAGAAUAGUUCUUUGGAGCAAUAAAAACAGAUAAGACAGAUGAGAAAAUUGUCAAUACCCCACCGCAAAAGCAAAAGAAAAAAAGGAAAGGAGACAAAAGAGGAAGAAGAAAAAGAAAAAAGAACGAAGAAAAAAAUGGUGCCGCGCGGUAUAGGCAAGAAGAAAAAAUAAUAAUAAAAUAAUAAAAUAAUAGUGCACAACAGUCAUUUGAUUGCUAUAAAUAAAGGGGCAUUUCCCUCAUUUUAUUCAUCGAAUUCUUCAGUUCCUAAGCGAUUUAAGAGUCUAGUGAUUUGAGAGUUUGGGUAUAGUAUAGUUUUGAGUAGUGAGUUAAAAUAUUACAAUACUUAUAACUUAUUUUUACUAAUAAAAUAUUUUUCUUCUAUCUUCACCCGUGGACGUAGGGUCAAAGCCGAAUCACAUAAUUUUUAGUAUCCCUAUGUGAUUAUGUAUCUCAUUAUUUUUCAAUUUUACUUUAGUUACGUGUCUGCUACAUCCUUCAAUUUACUAACAAAAAUGGCCAAAAUUAUAUAAGUGACCCAAAUUUUUUUGCUAUUUCCAAGAAAUCUCCAAUCUGAAUGGGCCAGACCAGAGGGAGGCAAGUUAGAAAUACGUUUCCUUCAUAGACAAUAACAGCGAUGAGUCGAUGACAUCGAGCCACGUCGGUAUCAAUAUUGAAUUAAAGGUGCAAUUAUUCAGCCAAUGAGCCUUACACAUCAAGAUAAAAGUCAAGAAAAUGAAUAUUUAUCCUAAUUAAAACACUUUCUGGCUGCAUUUAGUUGUUUCCAUUUGAAGUUAAAAGCAACGUUUCUUUCGUUUUGUGGGCAACUCGACUCAGUUAGCUGGCUUCUAGUGCUAGUAAGUGAAAAUAGAAGGCUAAUGAUUUAUUUGUUAUCUUUUGAUAAAAUUAUUAAAGAUAUAAUAGAUUUUUCAUGAUACAAAUAAAAAAUCACAUCAACAUAGCUUCCAAAGUACAACAGCUAAUGUUUACCAAACACUUUGUUGUAGCUUUUAAGCUACAGCUGCCCAACUUUAAUUUCAAAUGCACCCUUAAUAGGUUGAUUGAAUUUGUGGGAUAUAGAUUCCACAUAUCGUAUGACCUAGUAACUAUACAAGUGGUUCGUGAUCAAGACACAACAUUUGCUUCCGGCCCGGUGACCCAGCAAUCGCUGCAUUGGUCGCCACCUAUGGUGCCAACGAUAUUGCAUGGUCCAAUUGUGGCCUUGAAUGGAAAAAGUUGAGCAAAUUAUUUGUGGACACGAUGAUAAGUAACGCAAGCCUUGAUGCUAGUUAUGGUCCAAGAAAACAAGAGAUAUGCAUAACAACAAAAAGGAAAAAAAAAAAAAAAAAAAAAAAGGCAUUUGCAAGCCCAUUGAUAUUGGUGAAUUGUCGAUUUCAACUUUGGCAUGUGUAAUCCAGAGCCUGCGCGCUGUGGUGUGGCGCUGGCACGCUUGCAUUGACGAGGGGACAAGUCUUGGGGCUGAGCUAACAUUUAAGCUCGCAGAACUCAUGGUGCUAAUGGGAACACCAAAUAUUUUUUGACAUAUUUUGGUGCUUUCAUGGUUUAAUUCAAGGUAUAGAAAGGAGUGUUGAGAAUGUCAAAUAAAACGGUAUUGAAUGGAAGUUGUUAAAGACACGAUCCGCACCGAACGACAACAGCACGGUUGCUAAAAAUCCUUCCGUAAUAGGCAUAUCUAAUUUUUGAAAAAGUGUAACCUCUACAUUUAUAAAUAUACUCAAUGUAUAAUGUUUUACUUAAGAAAUGAAAAACUUGUUUGUUCAAGGAGAAUAAAGAAAAAUUUUCUAUGAUUUUUCUAUGGUUUGAACAAAGAAGGUUUUAACGAGUAUUAUAGACCUCGAUUGAAUGUUCGAAUGUAUAAUAAAAGAGAAACUGUCACAUAAAUGACAAAGAUACUUGAAAAAAAAAAAAAAGGGCAGCAAUAGAGAAUUAGAUCCGACUGUACAAAUAACUAGUUAAUUCAUCGAUACAUCAUUUUCUUGCUAGAAAAUGACAAUUAUGACAGCAAGCCACGAUAGUGUCAAUAUUGAAAUUGAUUUGCAAUUAUUCAGCCUAUGAGCCUUACACGUCAAGAUAAAAGUCAAGAAAAUGAAAGUUAAUAUCAAUUAAAACACUUCCAUUUCUAUGUGAAGUUAAAAAACAACGUUUCUUUUGUUUUGUGGGGGAUUCAACUGAGCACGCGCCACUAGCUAGCUGGCUUCUAGUUCUAGCAUAUGAAAACAGAAUUCUAAAGAUUUCACUUUCACCUUUUUUCUUUUUUUGGGGUUUUGAAUCAAAGUCAAGGUCGCACUGAAUAAUAUGUAAAAUUUGAAAAAGAAGAAUUAAUAGAGAACAAAGUUUUGUUUUAAAUUCACAUGGUGUGCAUACAAUUCAACAAACACUUCCUAUAAUAAAUCUGGAGUUGUAUCCCACGUUGAACAAUAAAGGAAAGUCACCUAAAUAUACAUGUAGGAUAAGUUACUUUAUUUAGUAAGUUUGUAUUUUCUUCUUUCUUCUAGUUUACAUAUAAAUUUGAUUAGAUAACUUAACACAUAUUUUAAUACUUGAUCAGAAGCCCGACGUACAGGUGGAUCUAGAAACUUGAUUUCUAAGAGUAAUACUAUAAUAAAAAAAUAAUGAUUCAUAGAACCAAUAUCAAAAUUUGUUUACAAGAUUGCCCCCACUCAAAGGUAAUUUUCAUAGAAAUUAAUAGGAAAUUUAAUUGUUAGUGGGGUCAAAUUGCCCCCACACUCUGAAUGUAGAUCCACGCCCGACCCUGAGUCAAGUAUAUUUUGCCACAUAUACUCUGAAUGUCGGCAGGAAAAAUCUUCCACUUUAGUUAAAAAUUUUCACUUAAAAAAUAUUUAUGUUAAUAAAGUUCGUAAAGGAAAUGAGUUUAAUUAAUGAAUAUUAUAGGAGAAAUUAAAGGAAAUGAGUUUAAUUAAAGAAUAUUAUAGGAGAAAUUCUAUUGUUCGGCUUUUAAUAAAUUAAUUAAUAGGUUUAAAAGAUUAAUAUACAUCAAAAUAUUAUUAGUUGGUGGGGGUUCCACAUCGGACUAAUACGUGUCACCUUACUUGUGAGAUUAAGACAAUCGACUUAGACUAUUUAAAUAUGUUUGAAGCUUAGAUGGCACCGCUUCAAUUUGCAUUACUGAAUGUCAUUCUUUAUCCUAAUUACUACCGUAAUUGAUAACAUGCAAUUGAAGUAACUAAUAUUAGCACUUGGCUAUAAAUGAACUAAAGGCCGUGCAAUUGAAUCUUUACUUGAUCACUUCACUCCUUUAUUUUGCUAACACAGAUUUUGAGAUAUUAAAACGAAAUAAUAAUUGAAUCUGGCUUUGUGGGUCGAUGAUGCUAGCAAAAACGAGACCACAAUUAUCACUUGUUUAUUUGCUGUAUUUGACGUUGUUUCAUAUUGGUAGUAAUAGGGUCAGUUUUUAAUCUUUUUAUAUUAAAGUUAAGUCAAUUUGUUAUCAAAAAAAAAAAUUGGUUGAGUUUAAUUAUAUUGCUAUGUACAUUAAAUAAUUAUAAUAUUCUUGAGGGAAAAAGACACCUAGAACCUCAAGGUUUGGGGAAAUGGUCACAAAGACUCCUAAGUUUUAAAAAAGGAACACUAAGAUCUUUUUUUACCCAUAAUACCCUUUGACUAGAGUAAUUAAAAAAUUGACUUUAAAGGUUUUUAAAUAAUUCUAAUUUAAUAUAAAUCAUAUAAUCUAUCUAGUAAACUAAUAAUAUUAAAUUAUUUUUUAUAUUUAAAAUAAUGUUAAAUUUUAAAUUAUUAUAUUUAUAAAAUUAUAAAGAUUUUAAAUAAAUAUUUGGAUUGAAUAUAUUUUACAAUUAAAAGUCUUCCUAUUAAUAAUAUUAAAAUUUAAUUUUACAAAAUAUAUAUUCAAAAUAUUUUUAAUUUUAAUUUAUUUAUUUUAAUAUUAUGUUUCUACCUAUUAUUAAAAAUUACUUUAAUAUAAUAAAAUAGGUCUAAUAGAUUGAAAAAUAUGAAAAUAUUUUUAAAAUUUUAAAUUAUUUUGAAAUGUAUAUAUUAUUACAUUUAUUUCAAUGUCAUAUUUUCAUUUAUUAUAAAAUUUUGGGGUUAUUUUUUUGGGAAUUUAUAGAGUCAAAGAGCAUUAUAAUUUAAUCCAUGCACAAUAUCUAUAAUUAUAUCGGUUGUCGGCUGAUUUCGUGGAGGGGGCGGCAGUUCAAAAUUUUUACGUGCAUGUUGGAUGGACGUCUCUAUUAAAGGAGAGCCACCACUUGCAUGGUAAUUUUUUUAAAUAAAUAUAUACAUUUCAAAACAUUAUUUUCUUGUUGUAUAGUUAACAUGUCACCUUAGAUGUAUUUUAGAGCUUCUCCUAUUAAAGAUAAUCUCAUGCAGUGUUACAGAGUAUGGUAAUAUGGUAUAGAUGAGAGCAUCUGAUUAAAUGAAGCAGCUGGUAAUGCUUACGUGUGUGAGUUAGUUAUCCAGCUCAGCAGCAAAGCAAACGAAAUGAAUUGCAUGCAUAUUAGAUCCAACAAACUGGUAAACUCUAGAUUCUUCUUUCAUUUAGUAUAAAUACCAAGUUGUUAUCAUUUGCUAAAUAUAUAAUAAGAUGAUCAUUUUCAGAUCUUUCCUUUAUAAUUUUCUAUAACUUUCUCGUUAGUUUCUCUUGAACCAAACACUUUGUACGAACUCUUUCGUGCAGUGAUACUUCUCGUGAUCUAAUCAUUAGUAGAAUCUAUAAUUUCGCUACUGUAAUAAAAUCUGUCACUACCCUAUAUGAAUGUAGAUAUUUGACGCGAUUUGUAAUUGCUUCCGACAGGAAAACAGCAAUAGUUUUAUUGAAAUUUGUGGUAUAGAUUCCACGAAUCUUAUGACAGAAUACUGACCACUCCAACCCUAUCCGCAUUUACACGAUUAAUACACAAGCUUAGAUGUGACAAUGCAUUUGUCACUCAUUCAAAUUCAUCCUGAAACACUAUACACUAAAUAAUCGAAUAUGGCUUCGUGGGUCGAUGAUGCUAGCAGCAACGAGACUGCAAUUAUCACUUGUUUUGUUGCUGUACUUGUCGUGGUCUAUUUCGCAUGGAAUGUAAACAAAUCAAGUAAAGCAAAUGCUAAAUUGCCACCAGGACCUCGGGGCUUGCCAGUAGUCCGAUACCUCCCAUUUCUUGGAACUACUGACUUACACAAGACAUUCACGGAGUUAUCUGGAGUUUAUGGUCCGAUCUUCAAGAUUUGGCUUGGGAAUAAAUUGUGUGUAGUGGUGACCUCGCCUACCCUAGUUAAACAAGUGGUCCGUGAUCAAGAUAUAACAUUCUCAAACCGCGACCCACCGAUCGCUGGAACUGUGACCACCUACGGUGGCAAUGAUAUUGCACUUUCCAAUUACGGUCCCGAAUGGAAAAAGUUGCGAAAAUUAUUUGUGAGCAAGAUGAUGAGUAAUGAGACCCUUGAUGCUUGUUAUGCUCUAAGAAAACAAGAGGUUAAAAAUACUAUCAGGGAUUUGUAUAACAACAAUAAGGAUAAUAUUGGCAAUGGCAAUGGCAAGCCCAUUGACGUUGGUGAAUUGUCGAUUUCAACUUUGGUACGUGUUAUGCAGAACAUGCUGUGGGGUCAAGCAUUGGAAACAAGAGAGAAAGAGAUUACUAAUCUCGGGGCUAAUCUUGCAGAACUCAUGGUGCUACUGGGAACACCAAAUAUUUCGGAUAUUUUUCCAGUGCUUUCAUGGCUUGACAUGCAAGGUAUAGAGAGAAGAGCUAAGAAGAUUUCUCUAUGGUUUGAAAAUAUUAUCAAUUCUGGUGUUGAACAGUAUAGAAACAAGUUCUCUGUUGUUAAAGGUGAAGAAGCUGCAGCACGAAAAAAUAUUGAACGAUCAAGAAAUAAGGACUUCUUGCAGUUGCUGUUGGAGCUUCAGGAAAAUGAAGAUAGUGCUUCAUCUAUUAGCAUGAACCAACUAAAGGCCGUGCUCGUGGUAUGUUAAGCAACUAGACACAAAAAGUUGUAAAAGCACAGCGAUAUAUUUGCGCGAGGCCCCGAGUGAUGUUUUGCCUCGAGAACUCUCAAUUUUAUCUUACGGUAAAAAAUGUUUUUCAACUUUUUUUUUUAAUUAGAAUUUUAUUGCAAUUUAUUUAACAGGACAUAAUUGUGGCCGGAACCGACACCACAACUACGAUGGUGGAAUGGACAAUGGCAGAGUUGAUGCAACAUCCACAAGUAAUGAAGAAAGUUCAAGAAGAAUUCGCUCAAGCUGUGGGCAUGGACAGUUGUGUUGAAGAAUAUCACUUGCCUAAAUUAAAGUAUUUAGAUGCUGUGGUGAAAGAAACAUUUCGUUUGCAUCCUGCGUUGCCCUUAUUGGUACCUCGCACGGCAAGCAAGAAUAGCAACAUUGGUGGCUAUACCAUUCCCAACGACACUAAUCUUAUGUUGAAUGUUUGGGCUAUCCACAGGGACCCUCAACUUUGGGAUAAUCCCUUAGAAUUUCGACCUGAGAGGUUCUUGAAUGAUGGUAUCAUAAGCAAUUUCAAUUACUCGGGUAACAAUUUUCAGUACUUGCCAUUUGGUUCUGGUAGAAGGAUGUGCGCUGGGAUUGCUCUAGCUGAGAGGAUGUUGAUGCUUGUUCUGGCUUCGUUGUUGCACUUGUUUGAGUGGAAAUUGCCCUCGGGCACAAAGCUAGACUUAUCUGAAAAGUAUGGGAUUGUCAUGCGGAAAAAAGAGCCUCUAAUUGCUAUUCCAACACCAAGGCUACCAAAUUCAGAUCUCUACCAGUAAGAUCAAAAUGGUUUUGAUAAUAUUAUUUCCCAUUGUAUUGGAUUUGAAGUUCAAUCAUAAUAAAAUAUUUUAAUAAAAUGUCCUCGGUUGCUAAUUUUUCAAUAGUAUAAUCUGCACCUGUCUUUUAUAGCAAUUUGGUCUAAUUUAUUUUUGAAUUAAAAUCCAUAAAUAUUUAUAUUUUUUUAAUUAUAUUAGGAAUUAUGUGGGGUGUAUGGUCUGAUCUUCGAGCUAUGCCUUGAAAACAAAUUAUGCAUAGUCGUGCACACGCUUUCCCUAAUUAAGUUUGUGGUUCGUGCUCAAGGCACAGCAUUCACCCCCCGCGACCCAACAAUCGCUACAUUGUUCCCCACCUAAAGUGCCAACAUAUUGCAUAAGUAACGCAAAAUAUGGUCCCCAAUGGAAAACGUUGCGCAAAUUAUUUCUGGGCAAGAUGAUAAGUAACGCAAGCCUUGAUGCUUGUUAUGGUCUAAGAAAACAAGAGGUUAAAAAUACUAUCAGAGACAUAUAUAAAACAACAACAGAAAAAAUUGGCAUUAUCAUCGAUAAUGGUGAGUUGUGGAUUUCAACUUUGGUAUGUUUAAUUCAGAACCCGCAGUGGGGUGGCGCUAGCACGCCUGCGUUAGGAGACGAGGGGACCAAUCUUGGGGCCGAGCUAAAAUAUAGGCUUGUAGAGCUCAUGCUGCUAAUGGUAAUGGGAACACCUACUAUUUCGGAUACUUUUCCGAUGCUGGUUUAAUUCAUGGUUUAGAAAGGAGAACAAAGAAGAUUUUUCGAUGCUUUGAAAAUAUUAUAAUUUUUAUAAAAUCUCUUAUUGAUAACUAAACAACUAAAAUUUCUGUAAAGUUUUUGUGGACUUUUGAUCUCCUAUGGUGCCAAUAUUUUCGACUAAUUUUUUCCUUCAAUUAAUGAUGUUGGUUGAGAAAGACUAUUUUUCUUGCAAUAAUAUAGUAUUCGUGGUCCUAUUAGGGUUCCGAAUGGAGAAAGUUGCACUAAGUUUUUUGAGUACCAAAUGAUGAGUAAUGUACGUAAGCCUUGAUGGUAGUUAUGGUCUAAGAAAACAAGAGGUUAAAAAUACUAUCUGGGAUUUGUACAACAAUAACAAAAUUGGCAAGCCCAUUGACAUUGGUGAAUUGUCAGUUUCAACCUUGGUAAGUGUUUUCAGAACAUGCUGUGGGGUGAAGCGCUUGGAAUAAGAAAGAAACGGAUGACGAAUAUUGGGGCUGAGCUUAGAUUUAAACUUGCAGAACUCAUGGUGCUGUCAGGAACACCGAAUAUUUCGGAUAUCUUUCCAGUGCUUUCAUGGUUUGAUAUACAAGGUUUUGAGAGAAUAGCAAAGAAGAUUUCUCUAUGGUUUUAAAAUAUUAUCAAUUCUACUGUUGAACGCUAUAGAAACAAGGUCUCAGUUGUUAAAAGUGAAGAAGAAGACGCAGCAGCAGCAGCAGCAGGGAACAACAUUGAAGGAAGGAAUAAGGACCUGGUGCAGUUACUCUUGGAGCUUCAAGGUAAAGAAGAAAAUGCUUCAUCAAUUAACAUGACGCAAUUUAAGAGCUUGCUCGUGGUAUGUUUGCGCAACUAGCCACAGACAGUUACAGAAACUGAGUUUGGCAGAUUACGACCGUUUCUGGUGAUUAUAUAACUAUUUGUGGCUGUUUUUUGUUUUUUUUUUCUUUUAAUUGGAAUUUUAUUGUAAAUUUCUUAACAGGAUAUAAUUUAGGGUGGAACCAACACCACAACUAUAAUGGUGGAAUGGACAAUGGCAUAAUUGAUACAGCAUCCACAAGUAAUGGAGAAUGUAAAGGUAGAACUAAGUCGGGCCGUGGCCAUUGACAGCCAUGUUGAAGAAUUUCACCUACCUAAGUUAAAAUAUUUAGAUGUUGUGGUGAAAGAAACAUUCCGCACGAUAAUAUAAUAUAUGAAUCAUAUAUCCUCUAUUGGUUUUUUGCUCCUUUUUUUUUCAAUAGCUUAAUCUAUCAUUAAAAUCUUCUGAAAUUCUAAAUUAAUAUACAUUCAACCUAGAGUUCAACCCAAAGUUUUAUUGAGCAUUAAAAAAAAAAAUUCUACGACUAAAAAUUUUACAGAGUAUAAAUUAAAAAUUAUGCGCCUACUAACAGACAAAAAACAAUUGAUACACAUUCACCAAUCAAAGGCAAACAAGAGAUUAUUAACAAUAACUUAAUAAUAAAAUUAUAAGGAAUCAAAUAGAAAUGGUACCUAGAAACACAUCACGCCAUUUAAUCAAUCACUUACCCAUAAAAUCCAAACUUAUAAACUAUUAAGGGGGGGAAAUGGAUACCUUUGGGUUUCAUUAAAUCAAAAUUACAACACCAUUAAAUACUCAAAAAUGAAAAAAAAAAAAUCAUACCCAAUAAAAGAGAAAAAAAUAACCCACAAAAAAAAUCAUCAAGAAAAUAAAUUUGAGACUAAGAGAAGAUAUUAAUUAACGCCUGGGUUGCAUUGGAACCACGGCUUUGGCUUCCAUUUUUCAAUUCUUGGUCACAAGUGAUUUCUUGUUUGUUUGCAAUGAUGACGGUUGAUUAAUGAAGCUCUAUUAACAAUGAAUGAAUCAAAAAACUUGAGCCUUGAAAAGACUAACGGUCAUAUUUUUCAACUCCGAAUUAGUGGCGUUUGAUGAGUCCUUGCCAAAACAAUCACUCGGCAGAUAACGAUCAUUUUUCAACCAGCAAAACUCAUUCAUUGUUUUUCACCUUAGUGAAGAUUUAAAAAUUGUUUCAAAAUAGGAUUCUUAAAAAAAUAAUAAUAAAAUGAUAUUUAACUUAAUUCUAACUUAGGAAAACAAAAUAUCUACACUCCCAAAGUUUGGAGAAAUGGUCAUUAAUAUCCCCAACUUUCCAAAAAGAGACACCAAGAACCCUUUUAACCAUAAUACUAUUUACUUCUAUUAUCCCAAAAAACAAUUGACUCUAAUAUUUUAUAAUAAAUAAAAAUAUAACAUUAAAAUAAAUGUAAUAGUAUAUACAUUUUAAAAUAGUUUCAAUAUUUAAAAAGCAUUUUAAUAUUUUUAAAUUCUAUUUUAUAUAUAUUGAUUAUUUUAAAGUAAAUUUUAUAAUAAAUAGAAUCAUAAUAUUAAAAUAAAUGCAUUAAAAUUUAAAUUAUUUUGAAUAUUAUGUAAAAUAAUAAUUUUAACAUUAUUAGUAUAUGAGAAUUUUUUUAAUUGUAGAAUGCAUUUAAUGCAAAUAUUUAUUUAAAAUCUCUACAAUAAAUAAAAAUAUACUAUUAAAACAAAACUCUACAAUACAUACAUACAUACAUAUACAUUGGCCUGGUAUUUUUAUUUUUCAUUUUUAAACUUAUUAAAUCCUCUAACUAUCAUUUGAUUUUUUUUUUUUUUCAAUGAUCAAGAGGUCAUUGCCGGAUAAAUGAUUAAAAUCAACUAGUUCUACAAGAAUAUCUCUUUUUAAAGGAAGAUGAUUCUCUCUCUCGAAAUUUUUUUAUCUCGUGCUACAAACUAAAAACUUAUGCCACUUCAUUAACCACAAAGAUCUUUGAGGAAAUGAUGCUUCCCUCCCCCCCCCCCCCCCCCCCCCUCCCACAAAAAAAAAAAAGAGUCCUUCCAUAUUGUGUGAAGGCUAAUAUAUCGAUGAAUCUAGAUUUCUUUAAAUUUUUUGUUUUACUCAAUUCGAGAUAAUAAUUCAAUCCAUGCAAAUAUCUAUCAUUGUAUGAGCUGACCAGUUAAUAGGUUGAUUGAAUAUAUGUGGUAAAGAUUCCACGUAUCUCAUGACAGAAUGCUGACCACUGGAACCCUAUCUACUUUUACGCGAUUAAUUCACGAGCUUAGGCACAACAAUUGCAAUACAAAUUAUCCCCUCAUCGUAUAUUUCGUUAAAAUUCAUUCUGAAGCAGUAAAACUAAACAAUCGAAUAUGGCUUUGCGGGUCGAUGAUGCCAGCAGCAAUGAGAGUGCAAUUAUCACUUGUUUAGUUUCUGUGCUUGCCGUGGCUUAUUUCGCAUGGAAUGUGAAAAAAUCAAGGAAAGCAAAUGCUAAACUGCCACCAGGAACUCGCGGCUUGCCUGUAGUCGGAUACCUCCCAUUUCUCGGGACUACUGACUUGCACAAGAAAUUCACGGAAUUUAUUUUACUAUUAUAUUUAUAUUCAAAAUAAUUUUAAUUAGCUUUUAAAAUGAAUGAUUUUAGGAAAUUAUAAAUAAAGGUAACUAAGAAUUCUCUUAAUGCAAUAUAUUAUUAAUUAGUUUAAAAAUACAAAUUUAUUAAUUAGAGAAAUUAUUAGUGAAUUUAAAUUAAUGAUCUUAAUGAUUUGUUUGUACGAUUGCCCCCAAUCAAAGGUAAUUUUCCUAAAAAUUAUUAGGAAAUUAGAGAAAUUUAAUUUUUUUUAGUGGGUUCAAUUGCCCACACACCCCGACUGAAGCAUUUUUUACAAUAUGUACUCCGUUUGUCGGCAGGAAAAUAAAGGUCUUGACACAUGAUCACUUCAUUCCUUUAUUUACUUUGCGAACGCAGAUUUUGAGGUAUUAAAACAAAUAAUAAUUGAAUAUGACUUUGUGGGUCGACGACGCCAGCAACGAGGAGACCGCCAAUUAUCACAUUUUAAGUUUGCUGUAAUUGCCAUUGUUUUAUAUUAGUAGAAUAUUAGUGAUAAGAUAAUUGUAGAGUUUUCAUUUUUUUAAUAUUAAAAUCAAGUCAAUUUAUUAUAAUAAAUUUAGUUGAAUUUAAUCGUAUUACCACAUAAAUUGAAUAAUAAUAGAAUUCUCCACAAAUAUUUCAAUAUUUUAAUCUCAAGCAUUGGAGUGGCAUUUAUUUGUUAUGCGGUCGAUUUUAGAAUUUUUAAAAUUAUUCGUUACUGAAUUGCACCAUAUGCUGCAUCACCUGGAACUUACUAAACGGAACGUAGCGUUGGCACCGUUACCAACAUUCACUGUUACGACUUUGUGACAUUAGAAUUAAAAUCUUUUCCACAUCUAAUUUGUUUACUUCCAAAUUAAUAUUUAACAAAAUAUUUUUUCACAUUAUCAAUGGACAAAACUCCAACGAAAAUAACUAUACAAGAAAAAUGUAUGCUAGAAUUGUAUGCCAUAUCAUCUGUAAUUUUGUCAGGAUCGAUCAUUCUAAUUUUGAAGCAGAACUUUUUAUCAAUGGACAAACACCUCACACAGCUUGUCAGAGGCAUUAUUAUGAUGUAAGAUUGUAAUGGUAUAUCUUGAAUUAUUGGUAGAAUAGUGAAUAACUAUUUGGAGCAAUAAAAACAAAUAAGACAGAUGAGAAAAUGGCUAAAAUUAUAUAAGUGACCCAAAUUGUUUUGCUAUUUCCAAGAAAUCCCCAAUCUGAAUGGACCAGCCAGAGGGAGGCAAGUUAGAAAUAUGUUUCCUUCAUAGACAAUAACAACGAUGAGUCGAUGACAUCAAGCCACGUCGGUAUCAAUAUUGAAAUAAAGGUGCAAUUAUUCAGCCAAUGAGCCUUACACAUCGAGAUAAAAGUCAAGAAAAUGAAAAUUUAUCCCAAUUAAAACACUUUCUGGCUGCAUUUAGCUGUUUCCAUUUGAAGUUAAAAACAACGUUUCUUUCGUUUUGUGGGCGACUCGACUGAGCUAGCUGGCUUCUAGUGCUGGUAAGUGAAAAUAGAAGGCUAAUGAUUUCACUUUCACAUUUUUCUUUUCCUUUUUUGGGAAUCAAAGUCAAGGUCAAGAAGAAUAAAUGGAGAAUUCGGAAAAAUGGGUGCAUAAUGUGAUCCAUUCAUGAAGAAGAGUACGUGAGCGUCGGGCAACAGUAUUUUUACCUAUUAAGCUCCAGUUUAAUUUUGUUGUAGGAAAACAAAAUUUUGUUUUCAAUUCACAUCGUGUGCAUCCAAUUCAACAAACACUUUGUAAUAAUUAAUGUUGAGUUGUAUCCUACGUUAAGGAGAGUUACUUAAAUUUAUAAAUAGGAUAAAUUACUCUAUUUAAUAAGUUAAUGUUUUCUUCUUUCUUCUAGAUUACAUAUAAAUUUAGUCAGAUAACCUAACACAUAUUUUAAUACUCGAUCAGAAGCCCUAAGCAGUGGUGGAUCCAAUAAAUUGAUUUAUAUGGUGUAAUAAUGUAAUAAAAAAAUGGUGAUUCAUAAAAUUGACCCAAUAUCAAAAUUUGUUUGCAAGAUUACUCCCCACUCAAAGGUAAUUUUCCUAAAAAUUAAUAGGAAAUUUAAUUGUCAUUGGGAUCAAAUUGCCCCCACACUCUUGAAUGUAGAUCCUCCCCUGGCCUUGAGUCAAGUAUUUUUUCCAAUAUAUACUCCGAAUGUCGGCAGGAACAACCUUCCACUUUAAUUUAAAAUUUUUACUUGAAAAAUUAAUUAAUGUUAAUAAAGUUCGUAAGAGAAAUGAGUUUAAUAAAAGAAAAUUAUAGGAGAAAUUCUAAUGUUUGUCUUUUAAUAAAUUAGUUUAUAAGUUUAAAAAGUUAACAUAUAUCAAAAUAUUAUUGAUUGGUGGUGGUUUCACGUCAGAUUAAGACGUGACACUUUACUUGUGAGACUGAGACAAUCAGCUUAGACUACUUCAAUAGGUUUGAAGCGUAGGCGGCACCCAUUCAAUUUGCACCAAUGUCUAUCAUUCUUUGUCCUAAUUACUACGAUAAUUAAUAACAUGCAAUUGAAAUUAUUAAUGUUAGUACUUGCCUAUAAAUAAAGGUAUUGUACUUGAAUCUUCAUAGAUGAUCACUUCAUUCCUUUAUUUACUUUGGUAACACAGAUUUUGAGAGACAUUAAAACUAAAGAAUAAUUGAAUAUGGCUUUGUGGGUUGAUGAUGCCAGCUCCAACGUGAGUGCAAUUAUCGCAUGUUUAAUUGCUCUAUUAGCCGUGGUCUAUUUCGUGUGGACAAGGAAAACAAAUGCUAAACUUCCACCAGGACCUCGCGGCUUGCCUGUAAUCGGAUACCUCCCUUUUCUCGGAACUACUGACUUGCACAAGACAUUCACGGAAUUAGCUGGUGUGUAUGGUCCAAUCUUCAAGCUCUGGCUUGGCAACAAAUUGUGUGUAGUGGUGAGCUCGCCUUCCCUAGUUAAACAAGUGGUUCGUGAUCAAGAUAUAACAUUCGCUAACCGCGACCCACCGAUCGCUGGACUCGUGGCCUCCUUUGGUGGCAAUGAUAUUUUAUUUUCCAAUUAUGGUCCUGAAUGGAGAAAGUUGCGCAAAUUAUUUGUGGGCAAGUUGAUGAGUAACGCAAGUCUUGACGCUUGUUAUGCUCUAAGAAAACAAGAGGUUAAAAAUAUAAUCAGGGAUUUGUAUAAUAACAACAAAACUGGCAAGCCCAUAGAUGUUGGUGAGUUGUCGAUCUCAACUUUUGUAUGUGUUAUACAGAACAUGCUAUGGGGUGAAGCUCUUGAAUUAAGAGAGAAAGGGAUCAGUAACCUUGGGGCUGAGCUAAAGUUUAAGCUAGCAGAACUCGUGGUGCUAAUGGGAACACCGAAUAUUUCGGAUAUCAUUCCGUGCUUUCAUGGCUUGAUAUACAAGGUAUAGAGAAGAGAACAAAGAAGAUUUCUCUAUGGUUUGCACAAGCACAGCUGUAUUAGUUAUGUGUUUUAACUUUAUUUUAAUUAGACUUUUAUUGUUAUCGUUUUAACAGGACAUAAUUUCUGGUGGAAACGACACAACAACUACAACGGUGGAAUGGACAAUGACAGAGUUGAUGCACAAUCCACGAGUAAUGAAGAAGGUUCAAGAGGAAUUAGCUCAAGUUGUGGCCAUGGACAGCUGUGUUGAAGAAUUUCACUUGCCCAAAUUAAAGUACUUAGAUGCUGUGGUGAAAGAAACAUUUCGGCUGCAUUCUGUGCCCUAUUUAGUACCACGUAGGGCAAGCCAAAGUAGCAGCAUUGGUGGCUAUACUGUUCCUAAAGAUACAACGAUUAUAUUGAAUGUUUGGGCAAUCCACAGAGAUCCUCAAAUUUGGGAUAACCCCUUAGAAUUUGGACCAGAGAAGUUUUUGAAUGAUGGUAUUGCGAGCAAAUUUGAUUACUCGGGUAACAAUUUUCAGUACUUGCCGUUUGGUUCUGGCAGAAGGAUGUGUGCAGGGAUUGCUCUGGCAGAGAGGAUGCUGAUGUUUGUUCUGGCUUCACUGCUGCACUCAUUUGAUUGGAAAUUACAGGCAGGCACAAAGCUAGACUUAUCUGAAAAGUUUGGGAUUUUGAUUAAGAAAAAGGAGCCUUAGGUUGCUAUUCCAACACCAAGACUACCCAAUUCAGAGCUCUACCAAUAAGACAAAUGGUUGUGAUGGUAUUGUAUCCCCACUGUAUUGGAAGAUUUGUAUGUUAUUUCAAGUUCAAUCAUAAUAAGCAUAUUAAUAAAUGUCUUCAGGUUGUUAUUUUUUCGCUGGCCCAAUCGAUCAUCAUACUCGUGUUUUCGAGCUAUUUAUUUAUUUUUGAAUUGCAAUCUGAAAUAUAUGUACUUUAAAUUUCUUACAAGAUUUUAAAUUUAUAUACAUCUACAACCCAAAAUCUCCCAAAAAAUCUAAAAUUCAAAAAUUUACAAAGCAUAGACCAAAAUUUUUAUACCAACUAAUUUUUUGAUCAAUUCUACACUUUCUAAAAGGAGAGACGUUUACUCCAAUAUUUGGACUACAAUUAUAUCUAAGCUUAGGUGCCAAAUAAUAAAUUUAUAAGUAAAUUGGAUUUUGAACAUGGAGAGAGUUCUAAAACAACUUGCUUAAAGCAAAUGAACUGUCCAAUUAAUUCAAUUUUUCAAAAACAAAUCUUUAAACAUUCAACGGACAUUUUCACAAGCUUCUGGAAGGCACAAUCUAAAACCCAACAAAGAAUUCAAAAAAUCUUUGAACUUCUCACAAGCUUCUUGGAGAGAUGCGACGGCGCUGCUUUGGUAACUCAGAAGGCUCAGAGAUCUUUGAGGAAAUCAUGGUUCGCUUUCUUUUUUAUCUUUCCUCCUAAUCCUUGCAAAUUGUGUGAAGGCCAAUAAAUCCAUGAAUCUAAAUCUCUGUAAAUUUCUUUUUUCCCAAAUUUAGAUAAUUAUUUACUCCAUGCACAAUAUAUAUCACUGUAUCAGCUGUUCUUUUUUUUUUUUUUUGGAUGGGGCGGCAGUUUAGAAGAGCUGGAGGGUGUUCUUGACAGAGCUCAAAUUUUUUGUGUGCUCGUUGGGUGGAUAUAUCAAUCAAAGAUAUCCCAUACAGUGACAUCUGUCGUGAUCAAAUUAUUAGUUGAUCAAUGAUUUCGACAUCUGUUUACUGUAAUAAAAUUUGUCACUAUACAUUGAUGAAAGUGUUUGAUGUGAUUUUCUAACUGCUACCGACGGGAAACAGUUAAUAGGUUGAUUGAAUUUGUGGGAUAUAGAUUCCACAUAUCGCAUGACAGGAUCCUGACCACUCGAAUCUUAUCUACAUUUACACGAUUAAUACACCAGCUUAGCUGUGACAGUGCCAUUACAAAUUAUCCUCUCAUCAUUUGUCUUGUUAAAAUUCAUUCUGAAACACUGAGACUAAAUAUACGAAAAUGGCUUUGUGGGUCGAUGAUGCGAGCCGGAAAGAGACUGUAAUUAUCACUUGUUUAGUUGCUGUACUCGCCGUGGUCUAUUUCGCAUGGAAUGUGAACAAAUCAAGUAAAGCAAAUGCUAAACUGCCGCCGGGACCUCGUGGUUUGCCUGUAGUCGGAUACCUCGCAUUUCUCGGAACUACUGACUUGCACAAGACAUUCACCGAUUUAUCUGGAGUCUAUGGUCCGAUCUUCAAGCUCUGCUUUGGAAACAAACUGUGUGUAGUGGUGAGCUCGCCUUCCCUAGUUAAACAAGUGGUCCAUGAUCAAGAUCUAACAUUCUCUAACCGCAGCCCAUCGAUCGCUGGACUUGUUACCAC